Molecule: long non-coding RNA, 71954 nt
Filed under: Gossypium raimondii (Peruvian cotton)
Lineage: Eukaryota; Viridiplantae; Streptophyta; Magnoliopsida; Malvales; Malvaceae
Description: long non-coding RNA (GRAI_LNC010255)
Source: RNAcentral
GUCGACAUGCGAAUCAUAGCACUUCACCAUGAUCCUGACUUAUGGGGAGAUGAUGUUGAUCUUUCCAAACCAGAGAGGUUUGCUGAAGGGAUAGCCGAAGCUACUAAGUAAAAUGCAGCUGCAUUUAUGCCCUUUGGAUUGGGACCUCGAUCUUGCGUAGGCAUGAGCUUUACAAUCAUUCAAGCGAAAAUUGCACUUUCCAUGAUUCUGCAACGCUACACUAUCAACCUCUCCCCUAGCUAUGUUCAUGCACCUUUACAACGUCUUACACUCAGGCCACAACAUGGGAUUCAGUUGUUGUUUCAUUCACUACGUUAUGAUGCUUAAAAUUCUAGUCUGUUGGUCUCCAAUAUAGUAAUAUAUAAUAAAAUGUGGAUAAUACUGUAUUUUGCAACCAUAUGAUAAUAUAUGGUUUUGGGAUUUCACGUUUUGGUGACAAGAUUAUAUGCUCUUUUUUUUUUGUUGAUAUUGUUAAAGGUUAAAAAGGUAUUACAGCAAACGCCGCCACCACAGGAGCAGGCCCUACAGUCCUGUACAUAACAUAAUCAACAACAAAAUAGUCCACCAAAGAGAAAUCAAUUCAAACUACCCCAAAAAGCUGGAACGGCAGCAGCAAAUCCAGUCAGCUCCCUGAGCAUCAUACAGCAACACAGCAACAAGAACAUCACAACCCAGUCAUAUACACGCCAUGAAGACAUUGGACUCCACAUUUUGCUAAAGUAUCAGCAAAGCAGUUAGAUUCUCUAUACACAUUCACAAAGGAGACAUUAUGGGAUCUCAUCACACAGCUUGGAAUAUGACCCAUCCAGCAUUUGUGAAACAGUGAAGAUGUCAAGUCCAGGAGCUCCAAACAAUGCCUCAGCCGGUGGAUCCUAUAAUUAGGUGUCUUUCUUCCAUUGCUACUGCAGUAGUGAAGUUUUUAUUCCACUUGGUUCCCUUCUUCCAGAGUUUCUGCUUGAAACACUCACUCCUCGAGCCGGCCAUUGCUUGUUUUCAUUUUUAAUUUUGUAAUAUAAUAUAUUACAAAAUAUGAAUGGUCAACAUUAAAAUGUAUUGCUAAAUGUUGUAUUACCAUUGCUAAAAUUUUAUUUUAACAAAAAAAAUCGUUGCGAGUUCAUCAUGUAUACCUCCUUUGUAUAAAAUAUGUAUAGAAAUUGAAAAGUCAUUUUUAAUUAUAUAUACUGUAACAUUUUUUUUUUGUUUUAAAAUAUAACUUUUUUCGUAACGAUAUAAUUUGUUUAUCUAAAAGUGUUUUAGCUAUAAUAAAAUUUGUUACAAUAUCACAAUGGUAAUAGUUACAAAUACUAUUACGUAACCAUAGUAUAUUGGUUGCAAAAUAAAAUUUGCAACAAUGUAAAAUUAAAUUUGCUAAGUUUUUUACGUAACAAUAAUAAUAUUGAUUACCAAAUAUUAUUUUGUAAGGAUAUUUUAUUUGGUUGUGUAUUAUAUUGUGCAAUGAUUAUAUUUCAUUGCCAAAAAAAUAUUUUAACAACCAUUAAGCGUGGUUGUCAAAUUAUUUAUUUAACAAUAAUACUAUUGGUUGCUAAAUAUUAUUCUGCAAUAAUGUUUUAAUUGGUUGUGUACUAAUUACGCAACAACUAUAAAAAUUUAUUUAAACAACCAUAAAAUGUGGUUGCCAAAUAUUUUUUGCAACAACAACAAUAAUAAUAUAUUUGUUAAUGCUUUUACAUAACAAUUUUUACUUAGUUAUGAAAUAUUAAUUUACAAUGGCAUAAUAUUUGGCCAUGUCUUAUAUUACACGAUAUUUAAAUAUUGUGCAAAGUUAAUUUUAACAACCUUAAUAUUUUGUUGCAAAAUUUUUAUAUGUAACCAUAUUAUUAUGUUCGUUGAAAUUUAUUUUGCACCAAAAUAUUAUAUAAUUGAUAAUAAAAAGAAGUAAUUACAAAUAUUAAAGAAACUAGUUAUUUGUUUAAAAACAAUAUUACCAAAAUUUUAAGCCCGUUUAUUAGAGUCCGGUUUGAAAAAUGUGCCUAAAAUUUAUCCCAAGCCCAACCCAAAUAAAAAUGCUAAACUCGGUCCGACCCGCUCAUAUUAUUUUUUAUAUAAUUUUUUUAAAAAUAUAAUACAUAAAAAUACUAAAAAUAUUAAAAUAAAUACUUCCCAAUAAAUUGAAAAUAAAUUAAAAAACAAUAUGUAUACUUAAAUAAUACUAAGAUAGGGUGCAACUUAACAAGCAAAUGCCUCUAAAAUAGUAACAAAAUUAACAAUAAAAUAACAGUUAUGCAAUAUCCAAACAAUAACGGCUAAUUUACCAAAAAAAGCCCAUUUUUUUUAAAAAUUACCGAAAUAAGCGGUUUUUUAAUUAUUUACCGGAAUGGGCCAUUUUUCGCGAAAUCGCGUCCACGUGGACGCGAUGUCAUGCCACGUAGCGCGGUACCGGAAACGCGAUUUUGACUCUGAUUUUACGUUUGGGUUUUCUGGCUUUUACGGUUUAGGGUGCAGGCUUUUUAGGGGUUAGGGGUCCCGGAAAAAUUGUUUUCGAGUUGAUGUAUCUGGUCAAAUAGUGGGAAAUCGCUUUUACCAGGAUGCUAUUUGAGAAGAAAUUGUGAAAUCGUGGCCUCGUGGACGCGAUUUCGCUACAGUGGUCAUGUAAGAAAUAAUUUUUUUUGACGUUUUCUAAGCAAAUAGUAUAAAAUCGCUGAUACCAGGAUGCUAUAUGAGAAGAAAUUGUGAAAUCGCGCCCUCGUGGACGCGAUUUCGCUACAGUUGGUCAUGUAGGAAAUAAAUUUUUUUUGACGUUUCUGAGUAAAUAGUGUCAAAUCGCGCCCUCGUGGACGCGAUUUUGCUACAGUAGCAAGUUUGGGCUGAAGCUAUAAAUUAGGCAGAAAAUGUUCUUAGAAUGCAUAACUCACAGAAAAAACAUUUUAGAAAGGCUAAGAAACUUAGAGUUUCAAAAUGAGUGAACGUAUUACUGCUGUUAUUUACUACGAUAGUGAGGUUUGCCACACCGAGAAUGGUGUUGUUUUUUUGUCGGAGAAUACGGUGCGACUGUCAUUUAGCCAAAACAUAGAUUUGACGGAACUCCGUAAAAGAAUUAGGCGUAAAAUCUUCGGAACAACGCCAAUGAAAGUUCUGUCAAUGACGUAUCGAUUUUGUUCUUCUUUUGAUCCGGUGACAUAUGACUCCUUCGACAUAAAAGGUGCUCGUAGCUUGGAGGCAAUGGUGCAGACUCAUCUUGCUAGCGGAGCAACUUAUAUUGAGUUAUAUGUACAAUUUACGUCGCCAACUGAUGUACUUCCGUCUGGUGUUCGAGAUGUAUACAUACCCCUGGCCGACACUCUGUUAGCGUGUUACAAAAUACGGAACAGCCCAUGUUCGGUAGCGGUGUCGAAUGCAUAUCCCCCCUAGACACUCUGUCGGUGGAUGGGACAUGUACAUCGGUGGCUCGACAUUUGACGCUGGAAAUACGAGCUGGGGAACUGCAUCAAGUUCUACUGGAUGGCAAUCUACAUCCAAUUGGGGACGUUAUCAAAUGCCCAGAAGAAGGGAUGACGUACUACCUACAACAUCAACCGGUGAGGGGACGUCGUACGCUGCAGAUGAUUGUGGGUUAGAAGGUGACUCCGAUGUGGAUCCACCUCGAGAGCCCGGGCCGGAAUGUGCAGAGGUGGGAUUAUUUUCUGAACCGGAGCCUAUUCCAACAGAAGGUGAAGAUAGUGAUAGGAGUGCAGAUGAUGAAGAAAAUCCACGAUUCAGAGCAUACUCACCUCCAGCCCACAUGCAUAAUGUGGAUCUGUCAAAUGAUGAUGCGUUAGAGUUUCCAGAUCUACCACACCGGGUGCGCGAUCGUACAAGUUCGGGGGUAGAUCUCGGUGAACUUGAAGUUGGUAAUCAGUUUACCAAUAAGGAUAGUUUUAUUGGUGCUUUGAAACAGCAUAGCGUCAAAAACGGCGUUAAUUACCACGUCGUUAAAUCAAAAUCUGAUAAGUUUGAGGCGAAGUGUGCGGUGCAAGACGGNNNNNNNNNNNNNNNNNNNNNNNNNNNNNNNNNNNNNNNNNNNNNNNNNNNNNNNNNNNNNNNNNNNNNNNNNNNNNNNNNNNNNNNNNNNNNNNNNNNNCUCGUUAAGGAAGAGGACAGGGUUGUGGGAGAUCAAAAAGUACAAAGGUCCACAUACAUAUGCUGCAGGUACAGGAUUGAAUGUGUCUGAAUAAUAUUUUUAUUUUCCAAUGUUGCAUUAUUUAAUGUACUCCCUCCCUUUGUAGGCGUUUCAGAAGAUCAUCCGAAAAUGGAUUCAGCUAUGUUGGCUAGCUUGAUACUGCCCACGAUAAAAGCAGAUCAUCGGACUUCAGUGCCGGUGAUAAUUGCCAAUAUCCGUAGCCAAAUGGGGUAUACGCCCUCUUACCGCAAGGCUUGGAUAGCUAAGCAAAAGGCAUUGGAGAAGAUGCAUAGUGGUGGGUCGCCUCAUAUAAUGAAAUAUGGCAAUGGUGUCAGGUGGUAGAGAGAUACGUCCCAGGUGCCAUCACAGACCUUGAAACGGAACAUGCGUACUACAAUGACCGAUUGCUACGUGGAUGCCAAGUGUUCAAACGCCUAUUUUGGACCUUUAAGCAAUGCCGAGACGCAUUUCCCUACUGCAAGCCAUUGGUACAAAUUGACGGUACCUUCAUGUUCGGUAGGUACACUCAUCGGCUAUUGGUUACAGUGGCACAGGACGGCGGUGGGAGAAUUCUUCCAAUUGCAUAUGCAAUAACACCGGGGGAGUCGUCUGAUGACUGGGAUUUUUUUCUCUCUAGGUUAAGGAGGCAUGUCUGCCCCCAACCUGAUAUCUGUGUUAUUUCAAAUCGGGGCACCGGUAUACUAGCUGCAUUUGAUCGAGAGGGAAGCUUGUGGCAGCGUACACACCAUAGGUAUUGCCUGAGACACGUUGCUUCGAACUACUACAGGUAAUAUCCAUCUAAGACGGAACGACGACAAGUGACCAACAUGGGUAUUUACUGUAUAAUUGUAUUAUUUCGUUUGUCAAAUUGAAUUAGUUUUAUUGGUAGACGCGGUAUAAAAUAUUCACUAUGUUCUUAUAUUGGUAGGGUAUGAAAUGAAUAAAGAUCGUUUUCACGAGAUGUUGGCAAUCUUGCGAUCCCAAAACGAAGAAGGGGCGGACUACCUUUGCAACAUACGUUUCGAACAGUGGGCACAAGCAUACGACGGAGGCCUACGAUAUGACCAUAUGACGUCGAACCUGGCAGAAUGCAUAAAUUUUGUUCUUAAAGGAACGCGCCAUCUACCGAUACCAGCGGUUGUGCGAAAGACAUAUUUCCAUUUGGCGGCGCUAUUUCCAAAGCGAGCAGCAGGUUAUGCAGGCCAGAUGUAGGGUGGGCAUGUAUGGUGCAGUAAGGUAGUUCAAGAAAUUAACAAGGCGAAGGCGAGGGCAAACGUCAUGCACGCUAUGUGUCACGAUCGAGACAAUUUAUGGUUUCGCGUGACGGAGUUCGACAUACCACACCAAGGUGUUGUUGGCGGGCAAUAUCUUGUACACUUGCGAAACAGGACUUGUGACUGUGGGAAGUUCGAUGCACUUCGUUAUCCAUGCGCUCAUGUUAUUGCAGCCUGUCAGAAACUCCGUCUGGAUCCGCUGAGUUAUGUGGACGAAGUGUACAAAUUAGAAAACAUGUACAACGUAUGGAGACACAUUUUCCCACCGGUCCCAGAUGAACGUAAGUGGCCGCCCGUAUCUCUUGCUCCUUUUAAACUGUUACCGAAUAGAGAAUUACGUCGCAAGCCGAAGGGUCACCUUCCUCCACUAGAAUACGGAACAAUAUGGAUAUCCGAGAAACAGCCAGUCAACAGAAGUUGUGCGGAUGGUGUAGGAACCCAGGCCAUACAAGUUGAUCGUGCCCUAAUCGCAAUAGUUAAAUGUAAUUAUAGAAAUAAUUACCUUUUAUUCAAUUAUUAAUUAAUAAUUGUAUUAAUUGUUAGUAAAAUUAUCAAAUUACUACAAUUUCUUAAAUGUUAGUACCAGUCAAAACAUUUUACGAAAUCCAACAUUAUGUAAAACUAUAAUUUCUUAAAUGGUUACUAAGAUUAUCAAAUCCGCUGAGUUAUGUUAGGGUUUUUACAUUAAUUAAAUUAGGUUAGGUUAGGGUUUUUAAUUAAAUUAGGUUAGGUUAGGGUUUUUAAUUAAAUUAAAUUAGGUUAGGGUUUUUAAUUAAAUUAAAUUAUGUUAGGGUUUUUAAUUAAGUUAAGUUAGGGUUUUUAAUUAUAUUAAGUUAGGUUAGGGUUUUUAAUCAAAUAAUGUCAAAAUAACUCAGAAAAAUUUCUAUGUGUAUUACAUCGUCAUAAACUUCUAUUUCAUUACAUCAAAUGAUAAAUUUUAAUACGGUAAUCAAUGUCUAUGACCGGGGGAUUCGGUUCCACAUGGCGGCCGUCGACGGUUACGCGCUGGAUUCCUCCUUCCUCUAGCUUCCGGCGGCCGUUGUUCUUCCUCGGGUGGUGAUUGUUGUUCUUCCGGUUCGGCAUCUGCUUGUCGGACUUGGGACGAUGAUCCACCUUCAAAGAAUACUGUAUGUGGAGGUGUUUGCAUCAUGAACGGCGACGGAGUUUGAAAGCCAUGCGUUGCUGGCGAUUGGUAAAAAGGAGAGCUCCCCGACGGCCCCCCUUACGACCCCUCCUGCGCCGAUGGCCUAGUUAUCGGUGGUCCGCUCGGCAUUACAGGAAAUGGAACUGAUCCGGGCAUUUGGCUCCAAGCUGCCAUAUGCUGUUGAAAAGGAUACAUGUACGGGUUAGGGUACAUAUAAGGGCUAGGAAACAUACCUGGCAUCAUAGGGAAAGGCGAUUGCGUGGGUAUCAUCUAUUGAAUUGCUGCGUCAGGUGACUGCGCCGGUGCUCUCGUUGGGGACUGUGAUUGCAUUGCCGCUGAUGAUGGGCCGGGUGAAUGUCUGGGCCUCGUUGAUGGGCUGCCCUCGUAGUCUUGUCCCCUUGGAUUUAGAGGCCCGCGCAUUUCCCUUCCGACACGUAUUUACCGCUGCCUCUCCUCUGGCGUAAGUAAAUACGGCUUCCCAUGGAUCCUAAACCAUGGCAUGUAUUCUAUAACGCACGCUAACUCGGGAACGAUGAUUUGUUCCCGAGUAGGUAGAUAUUCAUACCGAUUUUCCCACAUUUCUGUGUACUCUGACCAGUAUCUAGGCCAAUCCGUACCUAAUAGCCGAAGGUCGAUUUUGUGGUGCUCGUCAAACACCUUAGGGUCCGCAGGGAUCGGUUGUCUACAUCCAAACUGUCGUAGGACUCUGUCUGUCUGGUGGGGCUCCACAGUUGCAUAGUUGAUCAACACCACUUUCACGUGCCAAGCGUUGGGAUUUUGUAAAAACUCUUCCGGGAUUACUGCCCGGAUUGCCGGAUCCUCGUAUGGUGUCCAUUGAAACUACAUGAACAUGAUAGAAAUAUUACUUAUAUACAUAAUACUAAAUAGUAAAUACUAAAUAUCAAUCCACUAGUGAAUGUAUGGAAAUAUCUAUUUGCAAUAAUACUUACUUCUGCUUCCGACCGUUGGUCCAAUAGAAGCUGUAUAUCUUCAAGUUCAGACGGUAAUCCACGAUAACUCGCCGGAUGGUUCCACCUAAUUAAAUAAAUUUUUAGCAUACUUUUAUUCUUACAAAAUCUACAUAACAAUUUCAAAAUGUAAUGAAGAAAAUUUACCUCGUUACGAGUGGGAAUAUAUAUGGGUGGUUCACUCGAGGACGUAGAAAUGGAAAGCGAAACCGUGCCCAUGAUUGCAGUAGUGACAGGCAUCCUCCGAUUUUUGCUCUCCUCGGUUUGGUCGCCCCGCACAUCUCCCGAUAUAAAGUUUCCAAGACGGUAGACCCCCAACUAAAUUCACCGACUGCUCUAAAAUCAACGAGUUUUAGCAGCCACCUUAGAUGUACACAGCUCCGUGACGUGUCGGCCAUGAGAUAGCCUCCAAUUAUUUGAAGAAUGUAUGAUCGAGCAUAUCGGAUUCGUUCAAAUUCGGUUGAAUUUUCAUUCAGACCGGGGAAGGUGGCACGUAACCAGCUCAUCUCCACCUUACCUCCAUCCAUUUUAUCCGGAACGGCGCCCAAAAGCUCGUAGCACACCGCCUCCCAAUUGCUAGAUUGGGCAGACCCAGUGACUGGGUGCCCGUCCACCGGUAAUCCCAAAUGCAGAUGGACAUCUUCUAGAGUGAUAGUGCACUCUCCACAUGGAAGAUGAAAUGUGUGCGUCUCAGGUCUCGACCUCUCGAUCAACGCACUGAUCAGUUUCGUCUCCAACUUGCAUCCCCGGCCUACCGUUGCCACGUGCCAAAAUCUCGCUUCCUGCAGGUAGUUCUCUACUAACGGUGAUGGAGGAGCAUGCAUAUUCCGAAUAUUGCAUUCCAAUACCCGAUCUUCAGCCUUUUAUAAGAAAAAAUAAAUUAAUAAAUAUCUAAAAAUACAUAAAAAAAUAUCUUAAAUAAAUUUUAAAUUUUAAAUUUAAUACUUACCAUUUUCAAUUGCUCCACCGAGAUGUGAUUCCUAUCAAGACGAAUCAAUGAUCCGGCCAUUGUUGAAAAUAUUAAAAAUUUUAAAAUUAUUUUAAAAAUAAAAAUUUUAAAAUUUUCUUAAAAUAAUGAAAUUUAAUGAAAAAAGAAAUUUAAUAUGGAUUUGGAGAUUUUUUGAAGGAAAUUGAGAGGAUUUUAGAAGGAAUUUGAGAGAAUUUUGAAAGGAAUUUGAGAGAAUUUUUGAACGGAAUUGAGAGAAUUUUUGAAGGAUAUUGAUAUUGAAUUUUUUUGAGAAAAUAAAGGGGUGGGGGUUUAUAUAAGUAAAAAAAAAAUUACGUGGGGGGGGACAACGGUCAAUUUUUUGACCGUUGGGCACUGUUCACGCGCGCGGCCACAUCGCGUCCACGUCAGCAGGUCGCGCUGACGUGGACGCGAUGUCCUGUCACGUACCCUGACAUCGCGCUGACGUGGACGUGAUUUCGCGGAAAAUAGCCCAUUCCGGUAAAUAAUUAAAAAACCGGCCCAUUUCGGUAAUUUUUUAAAAAAACUUUUUUUAGUAAAUUAGCCAACAAUAACAACAAAAUAGUAACAAUAUAAUAGUGAAAUUGUGGCACAAUAGUGAAAAAAAAAUUAAGAAAAUAGCAUCAAAACAAUAAAAGAAAAUAAAAGAAAACAACAUGUUUUCUUUUUCUUUUUUGCAUAUUCAGGUCGGGCCGGACUCAAGCAAAAAAAACCUUGACUGAGGCUCGGCUUGUUUUUUAAAUCGGCCUCAUUUUUUGUCCAAACACAUUUUUUGAGCCUAAUUUUUACCCAAAUCCUCCCACUUUUCGGGCGAACCAUUCGGCCCGACCCAUAGACAGGUCUAUUUCAAUUACAAUUAAAUUAAAAUAAAAAUCUAACAAAAUUAAAUAGAUAUAUAUAAUAAACUAAUAAAAAUAAUUUUAAAACUAAAAUUGAAAUAACCCAUGAAAUUUAAAGUCUAAAAAUUAAAAAUUUAUAUGUACUGUAUGGUAAUAAAUACAAAAUUAAAGUUUAGAUAUAUUCUCCCUGUUCACUUUUAAAAAUCUUUUUCAGGUGAAUUGUAGUGGAGAAGGUAAAACACAUUUCAAGCAAAAAAAAUCACAUUACUUUUCCAUUAAUUUUUAAUCCAUUCGGGUAAUUAAUUAAAAUCUUUUUACAAAAUUCUCUACCAACCACACCUCGUCUUCUCGAAUGAGGGUUAGCAAAAUUCGAUUUAAUUCAAAAAAUUUAAUAAAAUAUUCAAAUUUUAAAUUAAAAAGUUCGAGUUAUUCGAGUUAAUCCGAUAAUUCGAUUAACUCGAAUAAAAAAAUCAAAAUUUUCAGUUUAACUCGAAUAUGAAUUACACAAUUCGAGUUAUCUGAAAAUCGGAAUAAGAAAAUAUAAAACUACGUUGUUUUGAUAAAUAUUUAGAUUUUCUAAAGUUGAAGCCAAAACCGUUUAUUUAAAAAACAAAACAAUUAUAUUGUUUAUGUAGUUAUAUAAUCUUGUAUUUCGUCUACUAGUUAAAUAAUCGGUUCAUGUAAAUGCAAAAUUGAGUAUAAAUAAUAGGAUUUGUUAACUCGAAUCGACUUGACUCAAUUCGAUUUGAAAAUUUUUUAAAUUGAGUUCGGUUGCUAAAAUAGGAUUUGUCAACUCGACUAAUUCGAAUUUUUUUUACUCGAUCGAAUAUUCACCAUUAUUUCUAAACUAUAACAGUUAAUGGAAACUCGUUAAGUCAUAAAAAAUUCAAGUAAAUGUUUUAAACUUGAGUCUUAUGAAUACAAAAAAUAAUUUUAAAAGAUAUUUUAAAUUAUAAAAUUUAAUUGGUAUAAAUAGGGGUGAGCAUUCGAUCGAAUCGAAUCGAAUCGAAAAUUUUCAAGUUAAUCGAGUUUUCGAAUCUCAUUUUAUCAUCCUAACUUCAUUUGAAGUUUUCUCGAAUCGAGUCGAGUGAGAUGGAAUUCGAAUCGAAUCGAAUCGAAUCGAAUAUAUUUGUUCCAGUUAAAUUUUAAAAAAUAAUUUUGGAUCCUUGUAACCACUGUCACCCAUCGUAAUAAAAUUUGUCCACCUUAAUCAGUUUUUUUUAUUAACUUUCAUCACCUCAUAAUUUAUUUAUUAAUUUUUUAUAUACUGGUUAGCUUCUUUGCUUGCUUAGUUGUUUCAAUUAUCUUCAGAUUCUUGUCACUAUGUAUUUUGGAAUUAAAAAAUAUAUUAAAUGUAAAAAUAUGAUUUUUUAAUAAAUGUUAUUUUAAAAAUAAAAUGUGAAAUUGAUACCAAUAUAAAAUUUUAACACGAAUAUUUUAUGGCACAAUUAAUAAUUCAAUUUUAAUAUAAAUAUUCAAUAUGACUAAACAAUUCAAUAAUAUAAAUAAUAUAAAAUGUGAAAUUUAAUUUAAUUUAAUAAUAUAAAUAGUAUAUAUAAAUAAAAUUAUUGCUAUUUAUGUUUAGUAAUUUUUUUUGGAUAAUUUUGAUUUUUUAUUUGAGAGUAAAUGGUGAGAAGUAAAAGUUUAAGGGGGAAAUAAAAAGUUUGGGGGAAUAAAAGUUUGAGGGAAAGUAAAUAGGGGGAGUAAAAUUUUGGAGGGAAAAUAUUAAAAAAAAUUUGGAGGGGGGAGGGUUUGGGGUAGAUGAGGUGGGAUGAGAAGGGAAUAAAAGUUUUAGGGAAAAAGUGAGAGGGAGUAAAAAUUUUGGGGGAAAGUAAAAAGUUUUGAGGGUUUUUGGAGUAAAAUUUUGAGAAAAAGUAAAUGGGAGAGUAAAAUUUUAGUGGGAAAUGAAUUUUGGAUAGAUUGGGGGGUUGGGAGGGGAGGGGAGGGGAGUAAAAGUUUUGGGGGGAAAGUGGGAAAGAGUAAAAGUUUUGAGGAAAAAGUAAAAAGGUUUGGGAGUUUGGGGUAAAAAUGUAAAAUAUUAUAGUUUGAUAUUCGAGUUAUUCGAAUUCGAAAACUCAACUCGAAAUUUGAAAAAAAAUUCGAGUUGAUUCGAAUAACUCGAUUCGUUUAACUCGAAAUUCGAAUUUUUUUUCGAUAUUUUCGAGUCGAAUCGAAUUUUGCUCACCCCUAGGUAUAAAUUAAAAUUAAAUAAAAAAUAUAAUUAGAUUGUUUGAUAAAAUAUAAUUUUUUUAAAAAUUUAAAGGUGGGGUAUUUGAAGGAAUUAAAAGAGAUAAAAUAAAAAUAAUUGAAACAAAUUCUACAUUAAGAUAUAAAAAGUUAUUUAAUCUACUUUUCAUUUUCCAAAUCUUUUCGUAGAAAAAUCCAAUCAUUUGUUUUUUAUUAUGAAUCAUCAAACUUGCUUAAAAACAUAAAUUAUUAGUUGAUUUAAUUUUUUUUAAUUGAUUAUCAAACAAGUCCUUGGUUAAUGUUCUCCAAGUUCAAGUGCCAUUUAGGUCAAAAAAAAAGUUUAAGUAAUAGUAACAUAAACAUUCAUUUUAUAACAAUAAAGUUAAAGCCAUGAAUAUUUUCAAAAAAAUAUUCAAUUAAGCCCUUGAAUGUUAAAAUAUUAAUCGAUUAAGUUCUUUGAUAGUUAAAGUUAACAGUCAAUUGUUAUAGUUAAAAUUUCAAUCAAUUAAGGCACGGUGUAGCGUUUGUUUACCUCAUCCUUUAACCAUGUGGUUGAGGGUUCGAUCCCCACUUAUGGAAAUGAAGCACAUUUCAUAAUCAGUCAUUUACCUAUUUGGAGAGCACUCAUAGUGAGGAGAUUAACUACUGUUGUUGUUGGUGGAUACCCUGAUUAUGACAAAUAAAAAAUAACAACUGCCAUUUUUUUGGAUUAUUUUUGCCACAUGACAUGCUAAGAUUGUGCCACGUGGUAUAAAAUUAUAAAAAUCAUAAAAAAAUUAUACAAGAAUUAUAAAAAUGAAUAAAAUUAGAAAAAAUAUAUAAAAAAUCUAUUUUUAAAAGGUUAAUAAAUUUUAUAUUUUAUUAUUUUUAAAAGGAUAAUAAAUUUUUAAAAUAUUUUUUUUUAUUCUUAUAUUUUUACGAGCUAUUUAAAUUUAAUUUCAAAAUAGGGCAUGCCUAAUAUAUAAAUAGACAUUUAAUUAGUGUCCAAGAGUAAUGGCGUCACUCCUAUUUUUCAUCUAGUUUAAAAAUGAUAAUUGCUUCAUCAGGUGUCUGAACAUUCUAUAUAAUUAUUCUUCAGUUCGAUGUCACCAAUAGCAACGACGACACCCAAAAAAUUUAUUACUUUUUUAAAACUAGAGGUGGUGACACCAAUGACAAUGGCGUCACCGACAUUUACUGUUCAAAAUGGGUCAUUUACGUACAUAAUUUUCAAAAUAAGUCAUUCUUAUAAAUAAUUAAAAGUUUUGGGUAUUUUUAAUAAAAAAGCUUAAGUUUGAUGUGUAAUACCCAAUUUUCGCCCGGCCCAUAUACCUUAUAAAAAACCCAAAUAAUUAAAAAAAGACAAAUAAAAUGAAAGUCCAAUCGCAGACUCAACAUCAGUCCAUUGGCCCAAUAAACAGAAACCCUAAAAUCUAAUAGCUUCCAGCACAGCCCCAACCGCCACACUUCCACGUAUACCGCCUGCAAGAAUCCAAUAGCAACAAAAACACAGUGUAAAAAUAGAGAAAAAUAGAAAAUAAGUUGUAUUUCUAAGCUAUAAAAAGAGCCAGAUUUUCUGUUUUAAAGAAAAAAAAGGGGGUAUUCAUAAAAAAUGGAGGAAGUCAGUGUAAAGGGGGAAAAUCAGUGUAAAGGGAGGAAAAAAGAAAUCAAAAAGUUUUAAAGAAGGUGAUUUUUUCACUUUUUCUUCUAUAUUUUUUGGUUACGUUUUUACUUUUCUAUUUUUUUUUUAUCAAUCUUAUAUGAAAAAGAAAAGAAGAGUUAGGAGAUGAGAAAUCUACCUGGCUUUGCCUACUCCGUUGCAAUUGGAGUCGGGCAGAGUUUCAGAUCGCUGAAGUGGCAGAGGGCAGAGAGGGUUUAGUUUUUUUCCUGAUAGUUAAUGUAAAUAAAAAGUGUUCUGAUUUUAGGGUUUUAAGUGGCUUUUAUAUUGUGCAUAAAACGGCACCGUUUAGGGCCUGUUUCAGUGGCUCUAAAAUGGUGCCGUAUUGGCCGUUUAGCCUCAGUAACCCACGUGGUGACCUGACCCGGGGAAGGAUCCACGCUUUUUGUAACGCUUCGAAAAAUUGCGCAAACAGUCCCUUUUCUUUUGUAGGGUAUUUCAAAUCGAUUCUUUUAUUUCAUUUAAAUUUGGCCACGCUUUUUAGGUUUCUUUCCAAUCUGAUUCAUGUCAAUAUGCUGCGCUUUGAGGGAAGGGAAUAUUUCCCAUUCGGUCCCCAUGUUAUCCGCGCGUCAUAUUUGGGCCCUCAUAUUUGUUUUAUCCUCAUUUUUUUCCUUUUAAUUUUGCUUUAAAUUUCAAUUUAAUCCUCAUUAGUUUGAUUUGAUUUGCUUGUGUUUUAUUUAUUUAAGUAUCGAUUAUUAUGCUAUCUUUUAAAAAAUUUUAAAUCUGAUAUUAUUUGAAUGUUUAUACUUAUUAUUAUUAAAUUAAUCAUUAAUAUUAUCUAAGUGUAUUGUAUAUUAUUAUUUUAGAUUUAUCAUGUUUUAUUAUUUUUAAUUUAUCAAUAUUAUUAUUUUAAAUUCAUCGUUAACAUUAUUUUAAAUCUAUCAUGUAUAUCUAUUUCAAAUUUAUCAUUAAUAUUUUUAAAUUUAUUGUCGAAACCAUUUUUUAAAUUAGAAAAAAGGGGGAUCGACUUUGAAAAUAUAAUGGGAGUCGCCAUCGAUCUUUUUUGAGAUGCGAUCGGAUCACCUUGAAAAUGAUUUUAGGUCUGCGAAUUUUGAGAAAACAAGUUCGAAAGUCGGUUACGCACGAGGAAGGGUUAGCACCCUCUUGAUGCCCAAAAUUGGUACCGAAUUGUUUAAUGCCUUAGUAUCGAAAACUUGAAAAGAUUUUAAAGUACGAUCCCUUGAAUGAAAUGAAUUGGAUGAUGAGACUCAUUUAUUUUGAAGACAUAGAUUGUCACACCCAGUAAGUUAGAGUGUAACAUUUUAAAUCCGCGAAAUUAAGUUUACUCUUAAAUUUUAAAACUUAUGCAUUUUGAGAAGGAUAUCUGAUUAUUUGAGUCAAAUGAGAGAAUCGAAACCCAGUAAGUUAGGGUUCGAUUUCACAAAAUCCCUAAAUAUCGAACAUUGCCUUUAUUUUCAUUUGUUAGAAAUCCUCGUCUCGAGAAAACAACAUGUCAUAUCCAAUGAGUUAGGACACAACGUAUUGAAUUCUCAAGAAUGAGCUUUUUUUGUAUGUUAAUUAAAAGAUAUUCGGUUUCUUAGAUCCCGAGGAAGAUUGGAAUCCAGUGAGUUAGGAGACAAUCUUUUCGAGGAUCACAAAUUCCGAGUGUCGCGUUGUUUUGGAGGCUUUUUGAAUAAAAGUGUUUUUGAUAUUUAAAUAAUAAACGUAACCUUUUAAGCAGAUAUAAGGCAAUAAAACGUUAAUGUACAACGCGAAUCGAUUAUUCGUAAAUUUAAAUAUACACCAAUGAAUACAAACAAUCAAUAGAUAAAUACAAAUAAACAAAGUAACAAUAGCCUCCAUUAUGCCAAUGUCAACAUCAACAUUCAAAAUAAAUAGUAUAUAAAAAAUCAAUCAAAAUACAUUAAAUCAUAUACAUAUAUUAAUUCAAAUAAAUAAUACAUGUGGGAGGAAAAUUUUAAUAAUAAUAUAAAUGAUAACGUAUACAUAAUAAUAUACAAAAAGGUUGAAACAAGCGAAAUAUAUAAAGUAGGGUUUUUAAAAGAAAAUAAUUAUAUGUAUAUAUAGGAAUAAGUAAAAAUAUAUAAUAAUAUAUACAAAAGUUGAAAUAAACAAAAUGAAUUAAAAUAGGGUCCUAAAAAAAUAAAUUAUAUAUAUGUAUAGAUAAAUAAAAAGAUAUAAUAAUGUAUUAUAUACUCGUAUAUCUUUUAAUAAAAUGAUUUAAUAUAAAUUGUGUAUAGAUAUAAAAUAGUAUUGUAUAAAAAUGUUAAAAACCUAAAAUAAUAUUACAUAAUAACAUAAAAUAAUUUAUAUACGUAAAUAAUGGCAAUUAAAUAUACAAACUAAUAUAAUAACAAUAUCAAUAAUAAUAUCAGUAGUAAUAACGGUGAUAAUAAUAAUAAUAAUAAAUUGAUAAUAAUAAUAGAUUAAUAAUAACAUUACUGAAUAGUAAAAAAAAACAAAAGGGACUAAACUGCAAGCAGAACAAAAUUAACAGGCCACAAAUAUGAUUUAAAAGAAAUGGAGGGUCAAACUGUAAUUCGCGAAUUACGGGGGGAGCCAAAUGGGAACUAUCCCGCUUUCCCAAAACGCAGCGCAGUGACAUGGACCAAAAUGUAGCAAAAGCAAAAUGAAGCAUGAAAUUCAUAAAUAAGAAAAAAACUGAUAUGAAAACACCACGAAGAAAAGAGGACCUUAUACGCUAAUAGACCAAACGACCAAAAUGCGCGGAUCCUUCCCCGGAUCGGGUCACCACGCGGGUCGUUGUGGGCAAAUGGCGCAGUUUCUUUCGUGGUUAAAAAACAAAAACCUAAGCUAUUAAACAUUUUCCUAAUCUAACAAAAAACCUAAAGAAAUGAGAGAAAAACUCUCUUUGCGCCGUUCGACGAUGAACAUCUGGAGGCGCCUAAACCACCGCUUGAUUUUGACUGCGACGAAACAAGCGACAGUCCAGCAAGCCAGGUAAACUCUCUUCCUUAAACCUCUCUUUUUAUGUUGUUUAAUGUUUCCUAAACAAAGAAACCAAAAAAAAAAAGAAAAAGAACAGUGAAGAAAAACGAAAAAAGGAAAAAACGAAUAUACCUCUCAAAUCCCUUUUUUGUAUUCAAUCUCUCUGUGUAUUGAUAUUGUGUGUAGAGGAAAAAGAACCCCUUUUACAGAUUCAAAAACGGCUUUAUAUAGCCGGAUCCAAAUAAAAAUUAAAAAUACAAUCAUAAAAUUCCAAUUUAUCCUUGCUGUUAUUUUCCUUUUUUGCGUGGUUGUUUCUGUCUCUGUUUGUUUGUGUCUGCUGCAGGUACGGCCGUACGGAGGUGUGGGCGUGGAGGCAUGCAUGGCAGUGUAUGUGAGGCUACUGUUGUGGUGGCUCACGCUGGGGCUGAGGGAGUUGCGGCACUUGGUCCAUUCCAGAAACCCUAGGGUUUUUUGGAAGCUGUUUAGGCCUAUCAGGGUUUGGGUUUGUUGGGCCUGUAACACGAUUGGGCUAAGGAUUGUAUUUGGGUUUAGGUUAGCUGUUUAAUGGACUGUUAAUGGACUUUGAAUUAUUUUUAUUAUUUGGUUUUUAUAUUUGUAUCGAGCCGGGCAAAAUUUGGGUAUUACAGCUGCCCCUCUUUGCUUGUUGUCGUGUAACAGGAACGGAGCAAAGACUCCAAAAAUGACCAAUUUUGCCCAGUCGUGCUGGACCUUGGUGCUCAUCUUCUUUGAAUUGCCUCAUUCCAUCCUACCGCAACAUCGGGGAGAUAAGAUUUGUGGCUUCAAUCAACUCCACUGUAAUCUCGGGGAGGUAAAAUCUGCCAUCUUCAGUCUGCCCCACUGCAUCUUUAGGGGAUAAGACCUGCUUACUCAGUCUGCUCCAUUAUAACCUCAGGGAGGUAAGAUUGGUUUCUUCUGUCUGACUGCAAUGUCGGGGAAACAAGAUUCACCGUUGUGGCUUUAAUCUACUUCAUUGUACCGCCAGGGAAGUAAGAUUCACUGUUGUAGCUUUAAUCUUUUUAACUGCAAUGUCGGGGAAGCAAGAUUCACCGAUGUGGCUUUAAUCUGUUCCACUAUAUCGCCUGGGGAGUAAGAUUCACUGUUGUAGCUUUAAUCUUUUUAACUGCAAUGUCGGGGAAGCAAGAUUCACCGAUGUGGCUUUAAUCUGUUCUGCUGCAUCGCUUGGGGAGUAAGAUUCGCUGUUGUAGCUUUAAUCUUUUUAACUGCAAUGUCGAGGAAUCAAGAUUUAUUGAUGUGGCUUUAAUCUGUUCCACUGCAUCGCCUAGGGAGUAAGAUUCGCUGUUGUAGCUUUAAUCUUUUUAACUGUAAUGUCGGGGAAGCAAGAUUCACCGAUGUGGCUUUAAUCUGUUCCACUGCAUCACCUGGGAAGUAAAACUGGUAUUUUCGAUCUGCUUCAUUGUCGAUGCAGGAAGACAAGGUCUGCUAUCUUCACUGAUCUGUUCUCUGGGGAACUUGACCUGUAUAAUAAACCUAAUUAUGCCUAAAGAUUAAGAUGGCAUGAUCAAAAUGAAUCCAAUGCUCCUAACUAGACAUGUGAAUAAUGUUUGCAUGAAUGCAUAGUUUUAUUUUGCCGAGAAUGAUCCCGCUUAGGUUGUCAUUACUCCAAGUUUAUUAAGGCUUUGUGACUGACGUGCUACAACGCCUUCUCGCUUGACUGGCUUUUUUGAAGAAACAUUUAGCCAGGUUGCCCCCCACUGUAAACCUAAAAGUUUAAUCCAUUAGGGCGCACAAUUUGUGCCAUCAUUCUUCCACUGCAAUUCAAGGGUAGAAAUAUGUGGCUUUUCCUCAAUCCUCUCUUAUCACAAUUCAAGGAUACAGGAUCUAAAUCGUUCUAGUUUCUCACACCAUUCUCAAGCUGUCGUACCCAAGGCUCAUACACAACUGAAGGCUUUCUUCUCUGAGGAAACCUCUUCCUGUUGCCUGGUGAUCAUUACUUGCUUGUUUAUUCAAGCUUUGUUAUCAAUAUGACAUUCUUGUCAUUUUGUUCAAUCAUGUUUUUGACAACAAAAUCCAAAGAGAAAGUCCAAAUUUAGACUCUUCCUUCUCAAAUUUCCAACCUUUAAAUUUGGUGUGCUCUAAACAAUAGUCCUGUUUCAGGUUCCUAUAUUAUUUAGAAAUGUUUCAGAGUAAUAUGCAAAACUUCCUUUGUGAAAGUUUUAUUAGUCCAUUAAUCAUUAUUCCAAUACAACAUUCUUUCAAAAAGGGUCAUAACAAUGGAUAAGAAUAAAAUUGGUUCUGGGCAUAGCUCAAAAUGAAUAAAUUAUCACAAAUAGUAAAGAAGGAUAAUAAAGAAAUUGAUUGGAAAUGUAUAUCUUCGAAAAGAAAAAAGUAUUCCAAGAACAACAAAUUCAAUAUAAAUAAUAUGAGAAUUGGGUGCCCCAGAUAUCGCAGCUUGAACUUCUCUGUACAAACUUCUGAAAACCAUUUUGAGUUUGACAUGUGUUUAGGAGAUCUACAGUGCUUUGUCGAUGCCCCAAGAUGUCGCCUACCAUUUCCUGUUGAUUCAGGUAUAACAAGAUUACUACAUGCCUGAAGAUUCAAGUUGCUCUGAUCGCUUCAUGCCCCAUUCUGAUCAAUAUUUGAGCCGCCCUUUUUCAGGUUUUCAACUCAAAUCCCCUUUGGCCUAAGGUGCCAUUUGCGGGUUUUCCCUUUAGCCUCUCCAUUUUUACUUUUUCAUUUUUUCAUUUUUCAUUUUCAUUUUUUCAUUUUUCAUAUAUAUAUAUUUUUUGACUUAGAGUGCCCUUUGCGGGUUUUCACAUUGGUCCUUUCUUCUUCUUUAAACGAAGUGUUUCUUGACUGGAUCCGAGUUUAUAGGAUUAGCCAUCUCACUCAAGAUUAAUGCUCCUCUGAAAAAGGUCUUCUUUAGAACACAGGGACAUCCCUGGCUUAGCAUUCAUGUCCUUCUAGAAUCCUUUAGUUGAGGAAGGAUAUUUUUCAACAUCCAGCCCUCUCGUGGAAUUCUCUGAGACGACAUUGUUUAUUAUGGGCUCGUAUCAUCUGGUACAUCUGACCCUAAUGAAUAGCUUUUAACCAUUUUCCUAGGUCCAACUGAUCACAUCGCAAUUGGAUCCAUUCUGCUUCAUCCAAUUCUAGCUCAAUUAAUACCCGGAGAGAGGGGAUUUCAAUCUUGUAAACCAAAGAGAGAGGUGUUGCCCCAGUAUAGAUGUUUGACAAGAAAGAAGGGCAAAUGGUAAUUUCUCAUGCCGGUCAUUGCAAGUCUCAGUCAUUUUUUCAUAAUUCAAUACAGUGAUGAACUACGGUAUCUGAUUUUGAAUUGAUCACAGACCUUAGCUAUCAUACUAACAUUCAUGAUAUCGUAUUCUCUCUAAUUCUAUACCGGCAUAUAAUGACAUUGACGCAUGAAGCAGCCUCUACCUGUUUGACAAGGUAACUAAUGAUCUCAAAUAUGAAGCAAUGCCCAUUAGAAAAUUUCGAUGAUGAUAACGACCAUGCCCCAUUUUGCUCAAAAUUUGCCCUUUUCGGGUUUUCAACUCAAAACCACCUUUGGUUACAAAGCGCCCUUUGCGGGUUUUCACUUUAGCCUCUCAUUUACUCUUUCAUUUUUCCUUUUUCUUCUCUCUUUUUUCAUUUUCAUUUUGACUUUGAUUUUGGUUUUUAUUUCUCUUCUUUUUGUUUUUGAUUUUGAUCUUGAUUUUUUUUUGAAUUGGAUCUGAACUCAUAGGAUUUGGUAAGUCCUUGUUAUCCCUUUUGACCAUAAAAUCUCCCACAUAAGAUCUUCCACUUUCAUCUUGUAUGUGAAAAAAACCUCUUUGGUAUCGGAUUUCUUUCAUAGAGCCUUUUGGGGUGUAACUAUGGCAGAAAACUUUGGAUCUUCCUCUUCAAUCAAAGUAAACUCCAACAACAUCUUGAAGGGAUGGAAACUUGACUUCAAAUGGGCAAAGCUAUGUUGAGUCAACGAGAGAGGCAUUGCCCCGGUAAAGAAUUGCAUCAUUCAUACUACAAAUUUUGACAUCGUGCUGUUGUGUAGAUUUCAUUAUCAGUGCUUAACCCGAGCAUAUCCUGGUAUGACCAUACAAAGACAUCCUUGAACUCUAGAAUAAUUUAAUGAGGUCUCACUUCAUCUUUGUGGUCAUGUCAAUUUCAAUCUUCACCCAGCUCACAAUUUCUAAUGGUUCAUCGCGAGGUAGGAUCUAUAUGUCCUCUUGUUCUACCAUCGUCAACAAGUACGGCGAUAAGCUACGAUCUAUGUCAAUUUCAAAGUCAUGAGAUCCCUCUAAGACAUGCCUCGCCCAAAAGGAAAAUCUGAGUCUGUAGCAGCGUCAUUCAUGUAGUUGAUAUCUGGGGACCCAUAGUAAGUACCGAAGAAUAUACAAAAGAAUGUAUAAAUUCAUGAAUAAUUAUUCGUACCAGAUGAUUAUGAAUGAAUGAAUAAUAAUUUGGAAGAAAUGCCAAAAGAAUGAAAGAAUCUGGAAUUAUUUGUAAAGAAUGAAAAUAUUAGCUCAGCAAUAAUUGCAAAGAUGUAUUUCAUUAAAAUAAACGUUCAGACAUGAGCCUAUUUCACAAAGGAAUUUCUAUCAUUUUUAGGCUAAAAACAACAAAGUGUUCUGAACAUUACUCUAAAUAAGCUCUAAAAACUACAGGGAUUUCUUCCGUAAUCUAAUUACUUAGAACACUCCCAGGGCUAUAAGGGCGGAUAUCUAACAAGGUCCCUUCUUUAGUUGCUUUUCGUCAAUGUGAACAUUUCCCACUCUUCUUCAUGCAUUGCAUUCACCCCAUUAUCAAUUAUGAUUGGGUAAUGGAUUUUCUGCACUGGAGUCAUCAAACUUGACAACACCCAUGUUAAUGAGCCUUUUAACAAGCUUUUUAAAGACGGUGUAAUUUUCUAUCGAAUGUCCCCCAAUUCUUGCAUGAUAAUCACACUGUGCACUCGCAUCAUACCAUUUGGGGUACAGAGGUUGUAGGGGUUUAGAGUAGAAAGAGGCAAUAAUGUGCACAUCGAAUAAGCAUUGAUACAGCUCCUUAUACGACAUCGAAAUUGGUGUGAACUGGAGAUUCUCAGUACUUGGUUUCACUCCAGAUUCUUAUCUCAAUGAACCUUGUUGACUAGUGACCCAUUUACUUGGAUGACUUACUGACCUUGAGUAACCUAUGUUAUUCAUCUCAUCUUCUUUUCUCCUUGCGACUGAUUUUUUGUUACUCUCUCCACCCUCUAUUCUUCCAUUUCUGAUGGUGUUUUCAAUAAUUUCACCAUUCAUAAUUAUAUCUGAGAAACUCUUUAAAGUACUUCCUAAUAUGUGCGUGAUGAACGGGGCCUUCAAUGUGUUGAUAAAGAGCAUAGUAGUUUCUCUUUCUAGGAGCAGCGGCUGGACUUGAUAGUGACUUCCCUCCAUCUUUGUGCGUACUGCCUGAAACUCUCACUCGGUUUCUUCUCCAUGUUUUGUAAAGUGAUCCUAUCGGGAACCAUAUCUGUCACAUGACUGUAUUGCCUCAUGAAUGCUUGAGCUAGGUCCCUCCUUGAACCAAUCUUGGUAUGGCUCAAUUGAUUGUACCAUUUGGACGCUGCCCCUACCAAACUGUCUUGGAAGCAGUGUAUUAGCAGCUGACCGUUGUUAAUGUAGCCAGUCAUCCUUCUACAGAACAUAGUGAUAUGAGCUUCGGGGCAGCUAGUUCCAUUAUAUUUUUCAAAUUCAGGCAUUUUGAAUUUGGGAGGAAGUACUAAGUCUGGGACUAAGCUUAGAUCUUUAGCAUCAAUUCCCUGAUUACUAUCAGUGCUUUCCAAGGCUUUAAAUUUUUCGUCCAACCAUUUAUACCUAUCUUCCCAUUGUUUUGACAAUUCCGCGUUCGCCUUUCCUUCUUCAGCUGUUUCAUCAAAAUCUGGGACGGUAAGAUUAACUUGAUUAUCACCAGGGUUAGGACCUGAUCCGGCCAAAAAUUUUAUCGGUAUUGAAACAUCGGUUUAAAACCGCUGAGGCCCAAUUGAAACAGAGGAUCUGCGCAGAGGUACCUCGGUCUUAACUUGCGUAUGCAGAGGCGUAAAGCCUGGAGGAUAGAUAGGUCUAUCCUUGUCUUCUUCUUCAUCAUUUACCAUAGGACCUUUCCCCUUAUUUACUCCUUUAGUCAGUAGAUGGGUCAAUUCAGCCAUCGCAUCUUUUUGAGCCUUGAUCAAAUUUUCCAUCAUGUCUUCUAGGAUUUUAUCUAGCCGCCAUUGCAUUUGUACUUGUAACUGUUCUUGCAUAUCCUGUUGCAUUUGCUUCAAUUUCUCUAAUCUUUGAUCCAUUUCCUUAGUUUUGCGACGAGUACCGUAAGGAUGUUUGGUUGGUUGGUUGGUUUUCCAGAUUAGCUGAAAUAAAUUUACUCUAUUAGACUCUUUCAAUGAAUUUUAAUGCAUAUCAUGCAGAUGUAUGAAAUGCAUGCCUAAAGAGACGUUGAUUCUGAUUCAAUUACAUUUAGGAAAAUUUUCUAGAAGACAAAUUUCUUUACAUAAAGCGGAUAUAUAUACGGCCUCGCCCUUAUAUUCCAAGAGACAACAUCGAUCCCCUCCUAUAUGUUAAAUCUUGCUAGUUUCCAAUGAAUGUCUCUUAUUGCUCCUUUUCUUGAUCCUGGUCGCGAUCCAUCAUCUGCCCAUCUUCAUAGAGCUCGUUAGCUUCUUCAAGGGAGUUGAAACGUUGAAGGCCCUUGGACAAUCGUCUCGAACCUUUAGGCCACAAAGCAGAGGUCACGAACUCUUUUAUCACCCUUCUUGUGUUUCUCAGAAUAUAUUCAAACAGCCAUAUUAUUUUCCACUUUAUCGAGGAAUCCGUAUUACAUGACAAGCUUUCUAAGUUAGUAACCAAACUUGAAUCAAUAUCUAUUUCCUAAGAUGCAAAUGCAAUGCAAUCAUAAUCAAAACAAAACAAGAUGGGUUAGUACAAAACAGAAGCAAACAAGGAAAACAAAAAUACCUAGUCAGGUGACCACUAGGGGUUUGGAAUGGCUCUACCUAGGAUGGGUUCCUAAGGUCUUCUAUAUGCGGUUUGGCUCUAAAGUUAAGGUACCCGAACCAGCAGAUUCCUCGAUCUUCACCCAUUAUAGACUCAUACAGAUCGAGUUCGGUUCAGGGGAAUACAUUUCCCUAUGGCUGCACGGAGAUAAAAAUCUCACGAAGACAUAGGUACAGAUGUAUCUCGAAAGUGAUCCACUAUCCUGCACGGAGGUGAAAACCUCACGAAGGAGUAGCUUCUCACUCCCACUUAAAAGGGGAAGACAAAACAGUCUUUAUGCAAUAUGAUGCCAAGAUAUAGAGCUCAAUUUACAGUAAUCAUGCAAACAAAUGCAAAGAGAAUAUCGUAAUUUUUCAAAAUCAAAUUUUUAAUUUUCAACAAUAAGACAAAAGACAAUCAAUUUUGCGGCUUGACUCUUGAAUUCCCCAGUGGAGUCGCCAAGCUGUCGAAACCAUUUUUUAAAUUAGAAAAAAGGGGGAUCAACUUUGAAAAUAUAAUGGGAGUCGCCACCGAUCUUUUUUGAUAUGCGAUCGGAUCACCUUGAAAAUGAUUUUAGGUCUGCAAAUUUUGAUAAAACAGGUUCGGAAGUCGGUUACGCACGAGGAAGGGUUAGCACCCUCGUGACGUCCAAAAUUGGUACCGAAUUGAUUGUUUAAUGUCUUAGUAUCGAAAACUUGAAAAGAUUUUAAAGUACGAUCCCUUGAAUGAAAUGAAUUGGAUGAUGAGACUCAUUUAUUUCAAAGACAUAGAUUGUCACACCCAGUAAGUUAGAGUGUAACAUUUUAAAUCCGCGAAAUUAAGUUUAUCUCUUAACUUUUAAAACUUAUGCAUUUUGAGAAGGAUAUCUGAUUAUUUGGGUCAAAUGAGAGAAUCGAAACCCAGUAAGUUAGGGUUCGAUUUCACAAAAUCCCUAAAUAUCGAACAUUGCCUUUAUUUUCAUUUGUUAGAAAUCCUCGUCUCGAGAAAACAACAUGUCAUAUCCAAUGCGUUAGGACACAACGUAUUGAAUUCUCGAGAAUGAGCUUUUUAUUUGUAUGUUAAUUAAAAGAUAUUCGGAAUUUGUGAUCCUCGAAAAGAUUGUGUCCUAACUCACUAGAUUUCAAUCUUCCUCGGGAUCUAAGAAACCGAAUAUCUUUUAAUUAACAUACAAAUAAAAAGCUCAUUCUCGAGAAUUCAAUACGUUGUGUCCUAACGCAUUGGAUAUGACAUGUUGUUUUCUCGAGACGAGGAUUUCUAACAAAUGAAAAUAAAGGCAAUGUUCGAUAUUUAGGGAUUUUGUGAAAUCAAACCCUAACUUACUGGGUUUCGAUUCUCUCAUUUGACCCAAAUAACCAGAUAUCCUUCUCAAAAUGCAUAAGUUUUAAAAGUUAAGAGAUAAACUUAAUUUCGCGGAUUUAAAAUGUUACACUCUAACUUACUGGGUGUGACAAUCUAUGUCUUCGAAAUAAAUGAGUCUCAUCAUCCAAUUCAUUUCAUUCAAGGGAUCGUACUUUAAAAUCUUUUCAAGUUUUCGAUACUAAGACACUAAACAAUCAAUUCGGUACCAAUUUUGGGCGUCACGAGGGUGCUAACCCUUCCUCGUGCGUAACCGACUUCCGAACCUGUUUUCUCAAAAUUCGCAGACCUAAAAUCAUUUUCAAGGUGAUCCGAUCGCAUCUCAAAAAAGAUCGGUGGCGACUCCCAUUAUAUUUUCAAAGUCGAUCCCCCUUUUUUCUAAUUUAAAAAAUGGUUUUUACAUUUAUUAUAUACUAUUAUUUUGGAUUUAUCACGUAUGAUUAUUCUAGAAUUAUCAUCAAAAUUUUUAAAUUUUAUAUGUAUUAUUAUUUCAAAUUUAUUAUAUAUUAUUUAUUGUAAAUUAUCCAAUUCAUUUCAAAUUGUAGAUAUUAUUUGUAUUAAAUUGUACAUUCAUAUAUAUUAUUUGUUUUAAUUCAUGUAUUGUUUUAAACUUCGUUCAUAUACGUACUAUUUAUUUUGAAUUAUACAUAUUACUUAUUUUUUAUAUUACUUUUCUAUAUAAUGUAUAUUCUAAUUUUUCUUCAUACUUCAUUUGCUUAAAUAUUUUUGUAUAUUGUGUUUUAUUAGUUGUUUUAAACAAUUUAUUAAAUGAUUUAUUUCAAUUCAUUUCACGUAUUCAUUUUAUCUUAAAUUGAUUUGCAUAAUAGAUUUUUUUAGCCUAUAACUUCAUGUUGUUUUAUUUAUGUACCCUUUCUUUGGAAUUAAGUUUGUUUUAUAUAUUAUUUCGAGUUCGAUAAUUAUUCUACCCAUGUAUAUUAUUCCAUGUUCAGACAUUUACUUUUCAGUUCCGAACAUUACAUCAUAGUUAAAAUUUUCGAUUUAUUUGCCAAAAUUUGAUUAUUUCAUUUCUUUUCAUCUCAAAUAAAUCAAGUUUAUAUCAUUGUUAAUAUUGCAUUAAACCUUCGCUUUGAUCCAAUUUCGUAAAAAAGGGAAAAUGAAGUUUGCAAUAUGUCGUCUUUGGAACGAUGAGAAAUCGUGCUCUAACUUACGGGGUUUCGAUUUUCUCAUUGAACUAAAACGACUAAACAUUUUAGUUUUCAAAUGCACAAAGUUUCAAUAAAGAUUUUUUAAAAGGUUAGCUUAUGCUCGGGAAUUCAAACGUUGCAUCUUAACUUACGGGAUACGACAUCUUGUUGCCUCGGGAUGAGAAAUCCUUUUACAUUCGUUCAAAUCUAUCCAAACAUUGUUUUAAAAUAUGGCAUUAAUAAAAGGGGAAUCGUUUCUAAUCUUUUCAAAUUUUUUAUGUUAGACUUUAAGACAUUAAUAAAUCAAUUCGGUACCAAUUUUAGGCGUUACGAGGGUGCUAACCCUUCCUUGUGCGUAACCGACUCCCGAACCUAUUUUCUCAAAAUUCGCAGACCUAAAAUCGUUUUUAAGGUGAUCCGAUCACACUUCAAUUAAAUAUCGGUGGCAAGUCGACCCUGUUUUUUCAAAAUAAAAAUGGUUUCGACAUGAUGAAUGGCGUAAGCCAUUAUCUAGGUCUACUUAAUACGACGGCUUGGUUUUGUCGGCCGAAAGGAAAUUACCUUAUGGGUUUUGCUUCGCCCAAAUGCUAGCAAAGUCUUUGUACGCAUUUGUUUGAUUGGAAAAGUGAGAAAUAGAUGAACAUGGUAAGCACAAAUUCUAGACAUUACCAUAUCACCUAUAAAAUUUAGUUAUCUUUUUAAUUUCUUUUGGCGUAUUAUGAAAAAAAAAAAAAAAAGUAAAUUUCUAACAACGCCGUGAUUAACACGACUAUUGGCUGUAAUUUUCAAAGGACAUGAACCUUGAAGAGGGACAAGUGUAGUCUCUUGAUGAUAAAUGUGUUGACUGUCAACUUGCAAAACCCAGAUUACCAUAACAGAUGCAAAAUCUGAUCGGUGAACAUAAGAAAAUGGAGACCAUGGGAAAACUUCUAAUCCUGCUUACAGCUUUUUUAUGCCUCUACCUCUUCGUUGCUUUGCUCAAUGUUUUCUACAAGUAUUGGUGGAUACCUCAACGGGUACAGUUCAUCAUGAAUUCACAAGGAAUCAGAGGACCUCCUUAUGAAUUUAUCCAUGGAAACAACAAAGAAGCUGCCCAAAUGUCCAUGGAAGCAUCUACCAAACCUAUGGCCUUGACGCACGAUAUAUUUCCCAGAGUCGUGCCUCAUGUUUACUCCUGGAUCAACAAAUACGGUUAGAAUAUUUUUUUCUUUUUUCUUUUUUGGGUAGUAUUUUCUAACUAACCUCCACUUUCCAUGAAGAGAAAUCGUUUUCUUUCAGGGAAGACUUAUCUUAGUUGGAAUGGAAUUCGAGGUCAACUGCUAAUUUCAGACCCAGAUCUAGUCAAAGAGGUCCUUAAAAACAGUGACAAAGCUUUUCGAAAGCCAAAGAUUUCAUAUUUCUUCGACAAGCUAAUAGGCGAUGGGCUUGCUUCAACCGAACGUGAGAAAUGGGCAAGGCAAAGGAAACUGGCCAAUUAUGCCUUUCAUGGGGAGAGCUUAGAAGUAAAUCAUCUCUACCUUCUAAUCUAAUUAUUGUAGUGGGACAUUUACAAACUUGAUAAUUUUUUGCAGAAUAUGACUCCAGCAGUAGUUGCUAGCGUUGAAACCAUGCUUGAGAAAUGGAAAAGUAAGGAGGGCAAAGAGAUAGAAGUGUUCCAAGAGUUCAGAUUAUUGACUUCAGAAGUGAUAUCCAGAACCGCCUUUGGUAGCAGUUACUUGGAAGGGGAGAAGAUUUUUGACAUGCUGAUGAAGUUGACAGUAAUUGCGGGCAGAAAUAUUUUAAAAGCAAAGAUUCCCAUCAUCAGGUAACUUCAUCAAAUCUUUACUUUGUUAAUCAACAUACUUCAGCUUACAAUGGGUUGAUUUAAUCUGGUUGUCCUUUUCAGCAAGUUUUGGAAAUCUGCUGAUGAAAUUGAAUCAGAAAGAAUUGCCAAAAUGAUACAUGAUUCUGUGAUGAGGAUUGUUAAAAAAAGGGAAGAGAGAGUAGUGAACGGAGAAGCUGAUAACUUCGGUCGUGAUUUUCUGGGAUUACUUGUAAAUGCUUAUCAUGAGGCGGACCAGAAAAACAGGCUUUCGAUUCAAGAUAUGGUAGAUGAGUGCAAAACUUUUUAUUUUGCUGGGCAAGAAACAGUCAAUUCCUUGCUUGCAUGGGCAACUCUGCUUUUAGCAAUACACACCGAUUGGCAAGACAAAGCAAGAGCAGAGGUGAUUGAGGUCUUUGGUAAUCAAAAGCCAGAUUCUGAAGGGAUGGCCAAAUUAAAGACGGUAAGCAAACUAUACAAAUUCAAUAGCUUGAAAACUAGCACUGACCAUUUAUAUUGCCUUUUGGAUUUCUUUUUCUCCAACAGAUGACCAUGAUUAUCAAUGAAACUUUACGGCUCUAUCCUCCUUUAAAUCGCGUGAUAAGAGAAGUAGGAAGAGAAGUCCAAUUAGGAAAACUUGUCCUGCCUACUCAUUUAGAGGUCGACAUGCGAAUCAUAGCACUUCACCAUGACCCUGACUUAUGGGGAGAUGAUGUUAAUCUUUUCAAACCAGAGAGGUUUGCUGAAGGGAUAGCAAAAGCUACUAAGUACAAUGCAGCUGCAUUUAUGCCUUUUGGAUUGGGAUCUCGAUCUUGCGUUGGCAUGAGCUUUGCAAUCACUGAAGCGAAAACUGCACUUUCCAUGAUUCUGCAACGCUACACUGUCACCGUCUCCCCUACCUACGUUCACGCUCCUGUACCAAGUCUUACACUCAAGCCACAACAUGGGAUGCAGUUGUUGUUUCAUUCACUACAUUAUGAUGCUUAAAAUUCUAGGCUGUUGGUCUCCAAUAUAGUAAUAUAUAAUAAAAUGUGGAUGAUACUGUAUUUUGCAACCAUACGAUGAUAUAUGGUUUGGGGAUUUCAUGUUUUGGCAACAGGAUUAUAUGCUUUUUUUUUUUUUUGUUGAUAUUGUUAAAGGUUAAAAGGGUAUUACAGCAAACAUCGCCACCGCAGGAGCAGGCCCUACAGUCCUGUGAAUAACAUAAUUAGGUGUCUUUCUUCCAUUACUACUGCAGUAGUGAGGUUUUUAUUCCACUUAGUUCCAUUCUUCCGGAGUGUCUGCUUGAAACACACACUCCUGGAGCCGGCCAUUACAUUGCUUGUUUAGCUUUCAUGGAAGGCUCGAAGCUCAUUAGACCAGAAACAUUGUUCCUUUGCCUAUGUAUCUUUUUGACAUAUUCUCUUAAGGAAGAGCUACUUAUAUCAAGGCUCCAUCUUUCUGAGUUGCAAGGCAAAAGUCCGUUCUCCAUGAAAAACCUACCCAUUUCCACUAAGUCCCCGUUCUCCUUUGCUUCUCAGAUGACUUUUGCAAUAAAAAGUCCUUUUCCCUUAAAAGCAAUGGAGAAUAGACACCAUUUUAGAAUAAUUUUUAGCUUAAAAAAAGUAUUUUUUGGUAGAUGGAGAAGUUGAAAAUUUUAACUUUUCUUCAGCCAAAAGUGAUUUUGGGUGAUAAUUUCCUUUUUUAACCUAUCUUCUCCCAAAAAAGUUUUUUUCUCUGGUUCUUUGGAGCUAAACCUAUACCCAUUUUUUUCACAUUUUCUCUUUCAAAGUUCUUUCUUCUGGUUCUUUAUUCCUCUUCUGCCGGUGAGUUUCUUUUCUUCUUCUUCUUCUCUUUAAUUAUUCAUUAUACUUUAGUUUUUAGUUGUUUUCUGAUUGUUUGAUUUUUAUAGAAAUUUUACAGAAAUUAAUUGACUGAUUUUACAGAAAUUCUAUCUCCUUAAAAUCAUUUUAGAAAGUUUCAGAAGAUUACAGGAAACAAAGAAGCAAAAGAAACACAAAGCAAAAUAUUAUUAUUAGUAAUGCAUGCGAUUAGAAUCAUGAAAAGUAACUCUUCCAAAAGAAAAAAAAAGAGGGAAAAUUCUGGCUUAGUUGUAUGGUCAAAGCAAAAAAAAAAAAAAAAAUCCCCCAAAACUUCAAAGGAGUGUCAAACAUGAACUCUGAGAUGUGUAGGCCCUACCAUUUAAAAGUUCAAACAGGAAUCUUUGUUGACUUGGUUGGGACUUAAACAAACUAAAAGAUUCAAGUUAUGUUGCUUACAUUGAUUCUUUGAGUCAUUGUAAGCAUGGAGAUAAUCACUGAUCAAAUAAGGAGGCAUAAAUAGCACUUACGGUGUCAUUGUUGCCUCUUUUGCUUUACUGCUUUGCUCUGUUUUGUGCCUCUGCUGCUUUGCUCUGCUUUGCUUUACUGAUUGUUAGAUACCCAGGAGUGUUUAGAGUUAAACCUACAGGCCCAAACUAUUUUAGUUGAUGAAAAUAAAAGAAAUAUAGACUAAAUAUUUGAAUAUUUAAUAGAUUAAAUACUGAUUGUUUUACUGAUUAAAUACUAUUUUAGAGUUUACUGAUUACUUUACUGAUUGCUAGAUCCCCAAGAGUGCAUAUCAAUUUGGUUGCCGAUACAUAUUACGCUCUAUUCACUUCUAUAUGAUAGAUUGAAUAUUUAAAGGAGAGAAUAAUACUAAACUUAACUAUAGACUUUAAGUGCAUAUUGAGAGGAGACUGCUAUAAACAUGCAUUAGAGGUUGAUUAGAAAAAUAGAGCAAUUUUGAGUAAUGGAGAUCUAAGUCACAUAGAGAAUUCAAUUAAUAAUAGAUGAAGAGAGUUAUGGACCUGCUAAACUGUUAGGAUUGUCUUCAGAUCACUGAACCACCAAGCAAUUCUUAUUGAUCUUAUACCUGAAAAGACAUUAAUGAGUUCCAACCUGUCUCUACAGGCACAAGUAUGAACAAAUACAAAAAAAAAAAGGAAAAAAAAAAGGAAUUUUAAUUUAUACCAAUGCAUGCUGGGAAAUAUAUGCCUUCAUUCAAUAUAAGAGCUAAUAUACACAACCACUGCCUACAACUAUAUGCAUGGUCAAGCAAAUACUUUAUCAGUAUACAUACAUAGGCCCUAACAAUUUGAAGGCCAUACAUGCUAUAACCCACAUGCAGAGUGUUGUUCAUCACAAAAAGGAAUGCAAAUAGUAAAGUUUAAUACCAAUUUUUAACCCUUUGAAAUGUCGGUAACAUAUCAACAAAAGUGAACCUUCAACAAAAAAGAUGCCACUAACCUCUCCACAAAAUAGGAUGCAAUAGAACCAGUAACAGCAUGUGCAGGAGCUAGCUUUCCAAGCUUUUCCUCCAAACCUGGAGUUGUAGCCUGUAAUAGAAUUAAAGUUCAACAAUACCAUUAUUCAUUGAUUAACAUCGAAAAUAACAACCUUAACAUAAGAAAAAUCAAUGAAAAAAUUCAAAGAUUGAUAAAUAAACUACAAACCUCCACUGCAGCUUUAGACCAAGCCCUUUGCUUUAUAUCCAUCAAGUUCAUCCCUACACCAUCAGUUGUAUCAAUACAAGCAUAAGCCCCUAAGAAUAGACAUGCCAUGAAAGAGCUAACAAGAGAGAUCCUCUCAGUGUCCUCAUAAGUUUCUUGUUGUGUCUCAAAUAUCUUCCGAAUUUGUGGUCCUGUAUAUCUCUCAUAAGCAUGAGAACCAGUAAUUUUAGACAACUCCAAUGCACCACUGACAGCUUUCUUUAUUUCUAUACACUGAGCAGUUGUGCUGCAGUCCAUCCAUAUCGGUGAUUCCUUCGGUUGCUUAUAGGCUUUAUAGGCUUACAAGAGUUAGUGUCUUAUAUGCUUAUUGUUGUCUUAACAUACCAAGGAGUUACUCUUCCUACAUUAAAAUGCCUGUAAAUCACAAGGAAAUGUUGUUGAUUGAUAAGUCAUUCAUUAUGCCUCUCGUUUGUUGUUACACUGCUAAUUUUUUAUGCUUUUGUUUUCUGUAAUGUGUAAGCUAUUAAAACUACAAUAAUAACGAACGCAAAAUGAUUGAAUGAAAUACUGUAAAUCACAGUAUGCUUUUUUUUUAUGCUUUAUCCUUAAGUUGUUUCCAUGCACUGCCCUGCUUUGUUUCCUUUCUACCAAUUGAUUUCAUGACAUAAAUGUACUAUAAAAAUUAGUAUAUAUGAGUGAACUCAUUUGAUUUAUUUAUUUGACGUUUCCAAUUUUCCAUAAAUAUCAGUAGUUGCAUUUGUCUCCAAGUACACUUUAGGUUUUUUCAAUUAUAAAUUCUUUAUUCUAUGGAUGAGAAUGGAUUUUUGAGUGAAUUUAUUGAUAAAAUCAGUAGUUAGUACAAUAUCUUUUGUAAAUGAUUGAUUUGGUUUAAUUUAUUUCCCCUUGACCUUUUUGUGAUUCAAGUGAUAGCUUUGCUCCUGCAGUUCUGUCUUUGGUUCUAAGGUUUCAUUUGUGAAUGUUAUUUGAAUCAAUUUAAUAUAGUAGUAUGGUAUUUUUGUGUUCUGUUGCAGGUUCUUUUCACCUACAAUAAACUACUUGACUUCAAAAGGGCACAAUCUUUACCUACCCUUGGUUCUUGGACUUGACAAAGUAAAUCCCAGGUUUGUGAGCUUAUUACGUUUCUUUCAUUGCUUCUGCCUUGGAUUCUGAAUAGUUGGAUAUAGUUAAUAUUUUGAUACACAUGUAAACAAAUAUACUUAUGUGACAUUUGAUUUUCUUGACUGCUUAACUGGCUGAAACGGAUCUAUUCGUAUACACAAUAGAUGAGUACUUCGGCAGUUGAAGUUAGUGGUGAAAAAGUAAAAGCAAUGUGGGAUAAGAGAUUGACAGAAAUAUUUUGUGAUAUUUGUAUUAAAGAGAUACUAAAAGACAAUAGGCCUGGUACUCAUUUCACAAAAGAUGGAUGGUUGAAAAUAAUGACCAACUUUGAGAAAGAAACGGGCAAGUGUUUUUCACAAAGACAACUUAAAAAUAGGUGAGAUGCCCUAAAAAAAGAAUGGAAAGCUUGGAAGAAACUUAAAGGCGACGAUAAUGGUCUAGGGUGGAAUCCUAUAAAAAGAACCGUUGAUGCAUAAGAUGAUUGGUGGGAGAGUAGGAUACAAGUACAUUGAUAAUUCUAAAUAUUUUUUGUUUUUUUUUCUUAUUUAUGAGGUUAUUGAUAAUUACUGUUAUUAAACUAUCAUUUUAUAUGUAGGUUGUGCCUGAAGCUCAAAAAUUUAGAACAUCGGGCAUUGAUCCUGAAUUCAAAGGGAAGUUGGACCAAAUGUUAAUGGGGAUAGUUGCAACAUGUGGUAAAGCAUGGGCACCAGGUGAUAAAGUAUGGGCACCUUCUUCUGGUACACUCCGUAGUGAUUUUUUUGAGGAUGUUAACAACGAAAUACCUAAAGAGAAUGAAGAAGAAAAUAUCAGAAAUGAUGUUCACAUUUUAAAUGAUGUUCACAUUUCAAAUGAUGUUCAAUUUGAUGGAAACGAUCAAAAAAGAAAAAAUCCUGAGAUAUCAAUGUUGACACCAUUUUUUUGAUAAAACGGGAUCGACUUAGGUUUUAGAAACGAAAACGAAAACGGAAGUCUCCACCAAUCCUUUUUGAUGAGGUGUGAUCGGGUCACCUCGUAAAGUGGUUGUUUUUAAUAAACAAUUUGAUUUUUAUGAAAAACAACGAUUUUGGUCCACGAAAUUCAGAAAAAUGGGUUUGGGAGUCGAUUACGUACGAGGAAGGAUUAGCACCCUCGUAACGCCCAAAAUUGGUACCUAGUUGAUUAAUUAAUGUCUUAGUGUCGAAGAUUGAAAAUUUUAAAGAAAUUUAAAAUACGAUCUUUUAUUGAAAUGUUGAAAAUUUUCGGGAAAGGCAUAUUUCACGUUAAUCGAGAAAGAGAAUUAUAUCCAAUAAGUUAGGACAUAAUGUCUUGAAUUUCUGAUACGCGAAUGAAUACCAAAAAUCUGCUUAUUUAAAAGAUAUUUAGCUAUCUCGGUUUCAAAAAAGAGAUCAUGCCCAGUAAGUUAAGACAAGAUCUUUUCUUAAUUCCCGAGAUCAUUUAAAACUUUGUUUGAAAUGAUUCGCGUAUUUAGAUUUAUCGAGAAAAUUGAAACCCCGUAAGUUAGGGUAUAAUUUUUCGAAUAUCAAAAUACGAAAAAUAAUUUUUGAUAUAUCGAGUAAAGUAAAACACGAUGUCGUAAAAAAUGCGAAAACAAAUUAUAUAGGAUACGCAUACGAAACAAUAAUGAAUAUGAAAGUGUAACAUAAUACGAAUGAUAGUGACAAAAACAUGAUAAAAAGGACGAAUCAAUAGCAUGCCAAAUAACUAGUGUAUAAGCAAAAUAAAAGUGAAAUAUUUUUAAAAUAAUAAUGAAAGCGUGAAUAAAUAGAUAAUAAUUGAAUUAUAAUUAUAAAAAAAAAGCAAUAGGAUAUAUGUAUAUGUAUAUGUAUAUGUAUAUGUAUAUGUAUAUGUAUAUGUAUAUAAAGUAUAAGAUAUAAUAAGGAAUAUGCAAGCAUGUAUAUAUAUAUAUGAAAAUUAAAAAUAUGUAUAUAAAGAUAUAUAGAUAAAUAAGAUAUAAAGUAUAUAGAUGUGAAAAUGAAAAAAUACGUAUAUAAAGAUAUAUAUAUAUAUAUAUAUAUAUAGUAUAGAAUAUAAUAAGUAUAUANNNNNNNNNNNNNNNNNNNNNNNNNNNNNNNNNNNNNNNNNNNNNNNNNNNNNNNNNNNNNNNNNNNNNNNNNNNNNNNNNNNNNNNNNNNNNNNNNNNNCAAAAGUAAAGAAUAUUCAAUUGAAAACACAGUGAAAAGCGGAAGGAAUAGGGUAGCAAUUAUACCCUAGUCACAAAACACGCGGAUCCUUCAGGUAAUGGGUCGGGUCACGCGUGGGUCGCGCGAAACGGCGCCGUUUUGGCGCUGAGGCCCCCAUGUGAAACAACGACGUUUUUCAUUUGGUAUAAAUGUUUAAAAAAACCCUAAAAAAUUAGAUUCAUCCCCUUUUUUUAAAAAAAAAAAUCAGAGAGCCAAAGCUCUCUCUCAAACCCCAAAUCUGUCCACAGUUGCCGGCUGUCCGUCCAUCGGACUGGCGCCGUGGCCGGUGGCCGACGACGGACCAAAUGUGCUUUUGAGCCCCGUUUUCGACGAUUUGAAGGCCAAUCCUUCUCAACCAAGAAGAAAACCGAAAGAAAAGACCCUCACCCCCUUUUAAGGCCGAUUUUGACGACGGAGAGAGGAUCCCCGACAACGUGGCCGCGGGACAUCUCAGGUGAGCCUUUAUUUUUCCUUUUUAUCUUUGUAGGUAGAAAUAAAAAUAAAUAAACAAAAAAAAAGUCAAGAACAAAAUAAAUAGAAAUAACAACCGAAAAUCACCUUUGAAGUUUUGUUUUUUUUAUUUAUUUUCUAAUAUGUCUGUAGUAAAAAAAAUACAUUGACUUGGUGAUGGCUUUUUCUAGCCGAAAUUGAUACAACAUUUUUUCUUUGUUUGUUGCUUGCGUUUUUGUUCUUUUCUUGCAGGUGAUUGACGGGCGCAAGUGGCAGAGGCGAUGAAGUGACCGUGGCGGUGGCGGCAGGUCAAGUGUGAGAAGACCCUAGGUGCGGCGCACCUAGGGUUAGGGUUUCCAGACCCUUUUUCUUGCUUUGGGCCGUGGGAAAUUGUGUUGGGUUGUAUUUGGGUCCGUUUGGGUUAGGGGUAGAUUUGGGCUUACUUUUGGUUUGGGUUAUUUUGUGUUUUAUUUGUUUGUAAUGGCCCCGGGUGAAAUUGGGCUUCUACAGCUGCCCCUCUUUGCUCGUUGUCGUGUAACAAGAACAGAGCAAAGACUAAGAAAGACCAAUUUCGCCCGGUCUCGUUAAUGCUCUAGUGCUUCUCUUCUUCAAGUAGCCUCCUUCUAAUCCACUGUGUCUUGUUGCUUUGAUCUACUCCACUGCACUUCAGAGAGAUACGACUUGCAGCUUCAAUCCACUCUGCUGCAACUUCAGGGGGACGAGAUUCGUGGUUUUAGUCUGCCCUACUGCAACGUCAGGGAGAUAAGACUUGAUGUUUCAACCUGCUCCACUGUGACUCUAGGGAGAUAAGGUCUUAAUAUGAUAAGAUCCAUUAUCAACAGUCUGCUCCACUACGACUUUAGGGAGAUAAGACUUGUAGUCGGUCUUCAAUUUGCUCCACUACUUCUUCAUGGAAAUAAGACUUAUAUCUUCAACCUGCUCCACCGCAACUUCGGGGAGAUAAGGUUUGCUAUCUUCAGUCUGCUCCACUGUAACUUCAAGGAGAUAAGACUCGUAAUGUCAACCUGCCCAACUGCAACUUCAGGGAGAUGAAGUUUGAUAUGAUCUACUCUACUAUAACUUCAGAGAGAUACGAUCAGUAAUUUAUAACUUCAAUCUGUUCCACUGCAACUUUAGGGAGAUAAGAUUCGUAAUUUCAACCUGCCUCACUGCAACUUCAGGGAGAUGAUGUUUGAUAUGAUCUGCUGUACUAUAAUUUUAGAGAGAUAAGAUAUGUAGUUUAUAGCUUCAAUCUGUUCCACUGCAACUUCAGGGAAAUAAGACUCGCUAUCUUUAGUCUGUUCCACUGCAACUUCAGGAAGAUAAGACUCGUAAUUUCUAAUAAAGUCCGAUGUGAUCCGUUCUACUGCAACUUCAGAGAGAUAAGAUUCAUCAUUUUGACCCGCUCCACUGCAACUUCAGGGAGAUAGGACUUAUAUCUUCUACUUGCCCUACUGGAACUUUAGGGGGAUAAUGUUAGUAACUUCAACCUGCUCUACUGCAAUUUUAGAGAGAUAAGGUUUGUUAUUUCAAUCUACUCUACUGCAACUUCAGAGAGACAGGGUUUGUAAUUUAUAGCUUCCAUCUAUUUCACUACAACUUCAAUGGAAUAAGACUUGCUAUCUUCAGUCUACUCUACUGCAUCCUCAGCAAGAUAGAACUUGUGGCUCCAAUAAAGUCUGAUGCGAUCUGUUCUACUACAACUUCAGAGAGAUAAGAUCCAUCAUUUUAACCUGCUCCACUGCAACUUCAGGGAGAUAAGGUUUGUUAUCUUCAACCUACUCCGCUACUACUCAGGGAGAUAAGACUAGUGAUUUCGAUCUGCUUCACUGUCAGUACAGGAAGACAAGAUCUACAACCUUCGACCUACUUCACUGCUACUCAGGGAGAUAAGACUAGUGGCUUAAAUUUGCUUCCCUACUACCUUGGGAAGAUAAGAUUCGCCGUCUUCGAUCUGCUCCACUACUGCUUAGGGAGAUAGGAUCUGUAAUUUUCAACCUACUCUGCUACUGCUUAGGGAGAUAAGGCUAGUGCUUUCGAUCUGCUUCACUGCCAGUACAGAAAGACGAGAUCUGCUACUCUUAGUCUACUCCGCUGCAAACUCAGAGAGGUCAGGCUUGUGUCUUCGAUCUGCUUCACUGCCAGUACAGGAAGACGAGAUCUGCUGCUUUUAGUCUGCUCCGCUGCAAACUCAGGAAGGUUAGGCUUGUGUCUUCAAUCUGCUUCGCUGCCAGUACAGGAAGAUGAGAUCUACUGCUUUUAGUUUGUUCUGCUGCAAACUCAGGGAGGUCAGGCUUGUGUUUUCGAUCUGCUUCGCUGUCGGUACAGAAAGACGAGAUCUGCUGCUUUUAGUCCAUUCCUCUGUAAUUUCUGAGAGAUAGGACUUGAUAUGACGACUUCAAUUCAUCUCACUGCAACUUCAGGGGUAUGGGAAACUUCAUUAAUAUGUUCUUUGGGGAACAUGACCUGUAAAGUCCAUUUUAUAAACCUAUUUAUGCCUAAUGAUUAGGAUGUUAUGAUCAGAACGAAUCAGAUUCUCCUAACUAGGUGUGUGUGAAUUAUAUUUGCAUGAAUGCAGAAUGUUAUGAGAAUGAUCCCUUUUUUAAUGUUAGGGUUGUCAUUGCUCGUUAUUCAUUAAGGCUCCAUUACCAACACGUCAGAAUGCCAUCUUGUUUGGCUGGUAGCACUCAUCUCUUACUUAAACGGAUUGCCCCCACUAUAAUCUUCAAAGUUCAAUCUGUUGUAAUCUUCAAGGCUAAGUCCACGGUAAUUUUUGGACAUAAAAUUUGAGCCAUCUUCCUUCCACUGAGUAAAAGAUCUGGCUCUUUCUCAAUCCUCUCCCACUGUAAUUCAGGGAUACAGGAUCUGAAUCUCUUUGGUCUCUUACACCAUUCUUAGGGUGUCGUACCAAAUAUUUAUGCACAAUUGUAGAACUUUCUCUUCUAAUAAACCUCUUUUUAUCACUCUGUGAUCAUUACUCAUUUGUUCAUUGAAGUUUUGUCACCAGCACGACAUUUUUCGUUUUGUUCAAUCUAUGCUUAGACAACAAAAUCCGAAGGGAUAGUCUUAAUUUAGACUUUUCCUUCUUAGACAUUUCACCCUUUAAACUUGGUGUACUCUAAACAAUAGUCAUGUUUCAGGUUCCUGUAUUGUUUAGAAGCUUUCAGAGUAAUAUGCAAAACUUCUUUUGCUUGAAUAUUAACAGCCCAUUAAUCUUUAUUUCAAUGGAAAAUGCUUGAAAAGAUUAUCACAAUGGGAAAGAUGAAAUUUUAUUGAGAGUAGAGCUCUAAACAAAUAAAUUAAUCAGGAUAGAAAAUUUUGCUAAGAUUCAAAAUGAAUAAGAUGAAAAGGAUUAUUACAAUGGAUAAGAUGGAAUUUUAUUGAGAACAAAGCUCGAAAUAAAUAAAUAAUCAAGAUAGCAAAUUUUUCUAAGAUACGAAAUGAAUAAGAUGAAAACAGGUGCCCCAGAUAUCACAGUAUGAGCUUUUCUGCAUAAGCUUCUUGAGGACCAUUUUGAACUUGAUAUGUGUCUAGAAGUCCUAAAAGACUUUGUUGAUGUCCCAAGAUGUAGCGUCUCACCUUCUUGCUAAUUUAGAGAGGACAAGGCCACCGCAUGUCCCACCUUUGAUCAAAAUUUAAACUGCCCAUUCCUGGGUUUUCAAUUCAAAACCCCUUUGGUCUCAAGGUGCCCUUUGUGGGUUUUCACCUUGGCCUCUCAUUCUUCUUUUCUUUUCUUUUUCCUUUCUUUUUUCUUUUCUUUUUUUUAACAUUCUUUGAUUGAAUUCGCCCUCGUAGGAUCAGGUAAGUCAUUGCUAUCCUUUCUAGUCGAAAUCAACACUUCUCCAGAUAAAGCCUUCAACAUAAGGUUCUUUUCAGUUUGAUAUCCUCUUUCUUCUAAAGUUCUUUUUGUAUGGAGAGGAUUUUCUUCGAUAUUAGGUCUCCUUCAUAGAAUUCUCUAGGGCGAACCUUCUUUGGUGAGCUCACGUCUUUUUUUUGUGGAUUUGACCAAGAUAGAUAACUUUGAACACUUCUCUUCAAUCGAGAUCUGAUCCAACACUCGAAGAGAAGGAAUCUUGACCUCAAUGAGCAAAACUACGAUGAGCCAAUGUGUUGCCCCGGCAGUAGUUUUUCCUCUCAUUUUUGUUUUGUUUUGUUUUUUAUUUUUGUUUUUUUUACUCCCACUGCGCCGUGCAUUUUGGGGCAAAAUGUGUUAAUCUUGAACAGACUGUAAACUUAUGACAUUGUGCUGUUGUUCAAUUUUAGUGCAUUGUUAGAUGUGCUUCUUUUUGGCAUUUCAAAUUGACACGUGAUUUUUCAAAAAUUCGCAGACUGUUGACCUUGCGACAUUGGCAUAUGAAGCAGCUUUUGCCUACUUAGUGAGGUAAUUGAUGACCAAAAAGAUAACCGUCAAAAACCUUAGGUAAGAUCAGCCUUAUGACAUUUGUGUCCCACGUAGAGAAAGGGCAUGGCUUCUAUUGAUUCUGUGUAAAAUAGAAUCUUGUUAUCUCGUUUUUAACAAAUCAGGAGAUAAGUUACAAUCUCAGUUAUCUCCAAAGGCUUGAGGUUUAAUCUGGACACAUAUCUUGCUCAAAAGGAGGUUCUGAAUCAAUAGUAGUGUUGCUCAUAUCAUUGAUAUUUAGAGACCUGUUAUAGGACGAAAGUAGAUCCAAAGAAUAAAAGAAUCUAAAAAUAUUUAUCUGUAUCGUAUGAUUAUGAAAUGGAAAAAAUAAAAGAAUAUUUGCCCGAAGUGAGAAACAAAGAUGCAUUUUAUUGAAAUAAAGAUGUUGGACAUAAGCCUAUCUCACAAAAGGAUUCUUAUUACCCCUAGGCUUAGAGAAAUAAGUGUGUUUUGGACAUUACUCCGAAUUAGGUCUAAAAUAUACAGGGAUCUCUUUCACAGUCCCACUAUUCAAAACACUUCCAAGUCUGUUCUUUUCACCAACCCCCUUCUUGGAUAUGAUGUUAAUGCUUUGAUAGCCGGCGAUUAUGACCCUCGGUUGGCCCACAGUGACCAAUUUGGGAUAUCUUUCAUUAUAUAUACUCAAGUUGCUUACUUCAUUUUCUUUGUUCUUUAGGGUUGAUCCUCUGACGCUUUCUCCCGUAUCUAUCUUCCCACUUCUUAUGGCAUUUUCACUCAUCUUGCCAGACAUUACCAUAUCUGAUAAGCUCAUGGUAGCGCUUCCCAACAUGUGGUUAAUGAAUGGGGCUUUCAAAGUGUUGACGAAAAGCAUCGUGGUUUCUUUUUCUAGAAAAGGUGGUUGGACUUAUGUCGCUACCUCUCUCCAUCUUUGGGCAUAUUGCCUGAAGCUCUCACUUUGCUUCUUUUCCAAGUUCUGUAGUGUAAUUCUGUCAGGUGCCAUGUCUGUCACGUAACCAUACUGCUUCAUGAAAGCUCGUGCCAAGUCUUUCCAUGAGUGGAUAUUGGCACGGCUCAACUGGUUGUACCAUUUUACAGCUGACCCGAUCAGACUAUCUUGGAAGUAAUGAAUUAACAGUUGAUCGUUAUCAAUGUAUCCUAUCAUUUUUCGACAGAACAUCGUGAUGUGAGCUUCGAGACAACUGGUCCCAUUAUACUUUUCAAAUUCUAAAGUCUUGAAUUUCGGUGGGAGUACUAAAUCUGGGACCAAACUUAAAUCCUUGGCAUCAACCCCGCAAUGGUAAUCAACAUUCUCCAUUGCUUUUAGUUUUUCUUCCAACCACCUAUACCGAUCUUCGAGUUGCUUUGGUAGUUCUACCCUUACUUCUGCCAUUUCGUCUAACUCAGGAAUAACAAGAUUGGUUGGAUCAUUCUUUGGAUUAGAACCUGAGCCUGUCGGAUAGUUCAUUAGCGCCGAGGUACCGGCCUGAUAUCGUUGGGGUCUGUUAGUAGUGGGUGCCCCUUGUAGAUGCGCGUCGGGUUGGGCCUGGACGCCUAUUGGGGUGAAACCUGGGAGAUAGGCAGGGUCUUCAUAUUUAUCCCCAGAAUUGGCUACAGGGUUUUUCUUUUUAUCUCUAGCUGAGAGCUGUGCUAAUUGGCUCAUCAAGCUCCUUUGGGAUUUUUGCAUGUCUUGUUGGAUAUUUUCUAGUUGUUCUUGCAUCUGGGCUUGCACCUGUUCUUACAAUUGCUCUAAUCUCUCUAGUCUCUGAUCUAUUCCUUUAGUUUUUGCUCAGAUACUGUAAGGGUGUUGGUUUUCCAGAUUAGCUGAAAUAAUUUUACUCAAUUAGGGUCUUUUAAUGGUCCUUAAUGCACAUGAUGCCAUGUAAUGCGAAUGCAUGAAUGCAAAAAAGACGUUGACUCUGAUUUAAUUCUAUUUAAAAAACUUUACUAAAAAACAAAUUCCUUUACAUAAAGCGAAUGCAUGUAUGGCCUCGCCCUCAUAUUCCAAGAAACAACAUUGGUCUUCUUCUUUAUCUGAAUGUUUAAGAUAAAUAUUGCAAAUUUCCAAUGGAUGCCACUACUAACUCCUUCUUGCUUGAUUCUGGUUGUGAUCCAUCGUCUGCCCAUCCUCGUAAUGCUCAUCAGCUUCUUUAAGGAAGUCAGAAUGUCGGUGACUCUCAAAUAAUUAGCUUGAAUUUUUGGGCCACGAAGUAAAAUGAUGUACUCUUCCAUCACCUUUCUUUUGUCGUGUUUCUUGGAAUGUAUUCGGGCAGCCAUAUUAUCUUCCGCUUUAUCAAGAAAUCCGUUUUCCAUGACAAACUUUCUAAUUUAGUAAUCAAACUUGAAUCAACACCUUUUUCUAAGAUGAAAAUGCAAUGCAAUCAUAACCAAAACAAAACGAAACAGGUUAGUACAAAGCAAAAGCAAACAAGAAAGAUAGAGUACCUAUUCGGGUAUCCACUAAAGGUUUGGAGUGGCUCUACCUAGGUAGAUUCUUAUGGCUCACUACAUGUGGUUCGAUUCUAAAGUAAAGGUACCUGAACCAACAGAUUCCUCAAUCCUCACCUAUUAUAGGCUCAUACGGACUGAGUUCAGUUCAGGGGAAUACAUUUCCCUAUGGCCAUGUGGAGAUGAAAAUCUCACGAAGACAUAGGUACAGAUGUAUCCCGGAAGCGAUUCACUAUCCCAUGCGAAGGUGAAAACCUCACGAAGGCGUAGUUUCUCACUCCCACUUAAAAGGGUGUGACCAACGGUCAUGCAAUGCAAUGUGCAGAAAUAUAUAUCUAAACUCAAAAUAACACAGUAUUUAUAAAACCACAAUGAUGAAGAUCGUAAUAAAGAUGAAUGAAAUACAAUGAAAGGAUAGUAAAUUUAAAUCAAAUUCAAUUUUUGACAAAAAGACAGAAAGUAAUCAACACGUGGCUUGACUCUCUUAUUUUGGAUCCCCAGUGGAGUCGCCAAGCUGUUGACACCAUUUUUUUGAUAAAACGGGGUCGACUUGGGUUUUAGAAACAAAAACGGGAGUCGCCACCAAUCCUUUUUGAUGAGGUGUGAUCGGGUCACCUCGUAAAGUGGUUGUUUUUAAUAAAUAAUUUGAUUUUUAUGAAAACAAUGAUUUUGGUCCACGAAAUUCAGAAAAAUGGGUUCGGGAGUCGAUUACGUCGAGGAAGGAUUAGCACCCUCGUAACGCCCAAAAUUGGUACCUAGUUGAUUAAUUAAUGUCUUAGUGUCGAAGAUUGAAAAUUUUAAAGAAAUUUAAAAUACGAUCUUUUAUUGAAAUGUUGAAAAUUUUCGGGAAAGGCAUAUUUCACGUUGAUCGAGAAAGAGAAUUAUAUCCAAUAAGUUAGGACACAAUGUCUUGAAUUUCUGAUACGUGAAUGAAUACCAAAAAUUUGCUUAUUUAAAAGAUAUUUAGCUAUCUCGGUUUUAAAAAAGAGAUCAUGCCCAGUAAGUUAAGACACGAUCUUUUCUUAAUUCCCGAGAUCAUUUAAAAAUUUGUUUGAAAUGAUUCGCGUAUUUAGAUUUAUCGAGAAAAUUGAAACCCCGUAAGUUAGGGUACGAUUUUUCGAAUAUCAAAAUACAAAAAAAAAAUUUUGAUAUAUCGAGUAAAGUAAAACACGAUGUCGUAAAAAAUGCGAAAACAAAUUAUAUAGGAUACGCAUACGAAACAAUAAUAAAUACGAAAGUGUAACAUAAUACGAAUGAUAGUGACAAAAACAGGAUAAAAAAGGACGAAUCAAUAGCAUGCCAAAUAACGAGUGUAUAAGCAAAAUAAAAGUGAAACAUUUUUAAAAUAAUAAUGAAAGCGUGAAUAAAUAGAUAAUAAUUGAAUUAUAAUUAUAAAAAAAGCAAUAGGAUAUAUGUAUAUGUAUAUAAAGUAUAAGAUAUAAUAAGGAAUAUGCAAGCAUGUAUAUAUAUAUAUAUAUAUAUGAAAAUUAAAAAUAUGUAUAUAAAGAUAUAUAGAUAAAUAAGAUAUAAAGUAUAUAGAUGUGAAAAUGAAAAAAUACGUACAUAAAGAUAUAUAUAUAUAUAUGAUAAGAUAUAAAGUAUAUAUAUAUAAAAAAAAUUAUAGACGUAUAUAUAUAUAUUAUAAAAAUGUAUGAUGGAUAUGGAUAUAUAUGUAUGUAUAACAAAACGUAUGUGUGUGUAUAUAUAUAUAGAUAACAAAAAUUUGAAAUUAAAAGGACAUAGUUGAGUAAAUAGUAAUAAUAAUAUUUAUAAUAAUAUAAUAUAAUAGUAAUAAUAAUAUGUAAAAUGAUCAAUUUAACAAUAAAUAACUAAAAUACCAAAUAAAGGGCUAGAUUAAAAACUAGGCUAGAAUAUGGGGUCAAAUCGCUAAUAAAAUAAAAGAGGGGACCUUCAUGAACGCGCACAUAACAUGGAGGGACUAAAAUGGAAAUUUUUCCUUCUCCUCCAAAACGCAUCGUUCCGGGAGGGACCGAAUUAAAAACGCAAAGAAAAAUGGGGUAAAAUUGCAAAAGUAAAGAAUAUUCAAUUGAAAACACAGAGAAAAGCAGAAGGACUAGGGUAGCAAUUAUACCCUAGUCACAAAACACACGGAUCCUCCAAGUAAUGGGUCGGGUCACACCCGGGUCGCGCGAAACGGCGCCGUUUUGGCGCUGAGGCCCCCAUGUGAAACAACGACGUUUUUCAUUUGGUAUAAAUGUUUAAAAAAACCCUAAAAAAUUAGAUUCAUCCCCCUUUUUUUAAAAAAAUUUCAAAGAGCCAAAGCUCUCUCUUAAACCCCAAAUCAGUCCAUGGUUGCCGGCCGUCCGUCCAUCGGACUGGCGCCGUGGCCGGUGGCCGAUGACGGACCAAAUGUGCUUUUGAGCCCCAUUUUCGACGAUUUGAAGGCCAAUCCUUCUCAACCAAGAAGAAAGCCGAAAGAAAAGACCCUCACCCACCUUUUAAGGCUGAUUUCGACGACGGAGAGAGAAUCUCCGACGACGUGGCCGCGGGACAUCUCAGGUGAGCCUUUCUUUUUCCUUUUUAUCUUUGUAGGUAGAAAUAAAAAUAAAUAAACAAAAAAAACUAAAGAACAAAAUAAAUAGAAAUAACAACCGAAAAUCACCUUUGAAGUUUUGUUUUUUUUUUUUUCUAAUAUGUCUAUAGUAAAAAAAAUACAUUGACUUGGUGAUGGCUUUUUCUAGCCGAAAUUGAUACAACAUUUUUUCUUUGUUUGCUGCUUGCGUUUUUGUUCUUUUCUUGCAGGUGAUUGACGGGCGCAAGUGGCAGAGACGGUGAAGUGACCGUGGCGGUGGCGGCAGGUCAAGGGUCAGAAGACCCUAGGUGCGGCGCACCUAGGGUUAGGGUUUCCAGACCCUUUUUCUUGCUUUGGGCCAUUUGGGCCGUGGGAAAUUGUGUUGGGUUGUAUUUGGGUCCGUUUGGGUUAGGGGUAGAUUUGGGCUUAUUUUAGGUUUGAGUUAUUUUGUGUUUUAUUUGUUUGUAAUGGGCCCGGGUGAAAUUGGGCUUCUACAAUCAAGUUCACAUUUUAAAACUAGAAGAAAGAAAUCCUCAAAGCACAUUAGAGGGGCUGCAAGAUUGUCCAGUCAAAUAGACAAAUUAUGCAAUGCAGCUGACAAUAUGAGUCAAGCCACAUCUAGUUUGACUCCUAUUAUGGAUCCAUAUGGUAUUCCACAAGCAGAUAAAAUGCUUGACAACAUGUCGAAAGAAGUUCCAAAAGCUAGUCCGCUAUACUUUUUCGCACUUAAAUUAUUGCUCAAGAAGGACAAGUGAAUUAUGUUUUUAUCAAUUAAUCCCAAGAUUAGAGCUUUGUGGCUUAAGACGGAAAUGGAGGAUAGUUGAAAAUUUUCUGAUCUUCUAGGGUUCAGAGAUAUCUAUUAUGUGACUAAACAACAAUGCUAAACUAGUUUUAUCAAUAGUUAUUUAUGUUUGGUUUUUGGAUAUUGAAUUUAUGUUCUACUUAUUUAUAUGUAAUCUAGUUUUAUCAAUGGUCGUUUAUGUUUGGUUUUUGGAUAUUGAAUUUAUGUUCUACUUAUUUAUGUAUAAUCUAGUUUUAUUAAUAGUUGUUUAUGUUUGGUCUUUGGAUAUUGAAUUUAUGUUCUACUUAUUUAUACUAAAUUAGUUUUAUCAAUAGUUGUUUAUAUAUGAUUUUGGAUAUAAAAUUUAUUCAUAGGUGAUAAGUAUAGUUAAGGAUUACAGCGGUGAUGAAAGUGAUGAUGAAAGGGAAAAGAAAGAGAUUUUACAACGCAUGGAAUGUUUUAACCAAUUAUUUGUUGUUGCAUCUUAUUCCUUGCAAUUAUAUUACGAGAAGUAUAUAUUGAGGCAACCAUGCAUGGAUUCUAAACAGUCAGGUGAGACAUGGAUCCGAGAGAUUCUUGACUGUCACAAAUCACGUUGUAUGAUUAAUUCACUACACCAAAACAGGAUUUUAGCGGCACUUUUAGUGGCGCUUGAACAAAAAAUGCUGGUAAAAAUCAAGCAUUAGCAGCGCUUUAUGGAAAUCGCCACUAAAAACCAAAGCCCAACGGUGUCGUUUUCUUACCUUUCGGGGCUUUAGCGGGUUUUUUGAAAAUGCGUCGCUAAUGCUCGGUGUUUUAGCGGCGUUUUUUAAAAGCGCCGCUAAUGCUAGGGCCUUUAGCGGCGUUUUUGAAAAAGCGCGGCUAAAAACAUUUUAUCUUAUUUGGUUUAUUUAUAUAAUUAAAUAAGAUUAAAUUUAAAUCUAAUUGAAUAUUUAAAAUCUUCAAAAAAAAUAAUGACACGUAGAAAUAAUUUGAAAUAAAAUAUCUGGAAAAAUUAAAAUACUAUUAUUUAAAAUAAUUUUAAAUUUUUUGGGUACAUGAUUACUGAUUUUUUUUAAUUUAUAUAUUAAAAAAUUUCUUAUAUAAUCGUAAAAGAGAUGGUAUUAAUUUUAAAAUAUUGAAUUAAUUAUCACUAUAGUUUAGGGUUUUUGGUUCAGGGUAUAUGAUUUAUUUAAAAUUUAAGGCCAGUUUAAAAGUUACUAUUUUAAGGUUUAGGGAGUAUGGAUUUAGGAAUUAUGGAUUAGGGAUUAUGGUUUAGGGGUUGGGGUUUAAGGUGUAGGGGUUAGGAAUUUAGAGGUUUAGGAGUUAGACGUUAGGGGUUGAGAGUUAAGGAUUCAAGGUUUAGGGAUUUAGGGGCCAAGUUAGGGGUUUGUGUUUAGAUUAAUUUUUUUAAUUUAUAUUUUAAAUAUGUUCUUAUAUAAUUGUAAAAGAGAUAAUAAAUUUGUUUAGGGUUUUUAGUUUAGGGUAUAUGAUUAAUUUAAGAUUUAAGGCCGGUUUAGGAGUUCAUAUUUUAAGGUUUAGGGAGUAUGAAUUUAGAGAUUAUGAAUUAGGGAUUAUGGUUUAAGGGUUUGGAUUUAAGGUUUAGGGGUUAGGGGUUUAAGGGUUAGACGUUAGGGGUUAAGAGUUAGGGAUUUAAGGUUUAGGGAUUCAAGGGUCGAGUUAAUGUUUUGGGUUUAGAUUAAUUUUUUUAAUUUAUAUUUUAAAUAUGUUAUUAUAUAAUUUUAAAAGAGAUAAUAAUAAAUUAAAUAUAUUGAAAUUAUGAGUGUAGUUUAAAUUAUUUAAGAGAUAUAUAAUAGAUAGAUUUUAUAUGUAUUGAAUGGUUAAUUUAGGGUUUAAGGUUAAUGUUUACUUGAGAUUUGUUAAAUGAUAAAAUUUUAUAUAAUUAAUUAAUACUUUUAUAUUUAAAAAAAUUUAAUUUAAACCAUUUGAUAUAUUUAAAUAUUAGUUUAAAUAGAAUUAAUAAAUAAAUUAAAAAAAUAAUAGAUUGAUAUGGAUAUUUAGGUACAAUUAUUUAUUUUGGAGAGGAUCAAAUUAUAAAAAAUAAAAUUAAAAUACAAAAAUAAAAUAAUUUUGUUCAAAAUGAAAAUUUUUUACACACUUUUUAUAAAAACACCGCAAAAAAUAAAUAAUAGCCCCAAAAUUUAACUUUAAAAAUGCUACAAAAAUUAUUUCACUUUAAAAAAUCGCGCCAUUUUACCCCAAAUUUCCCCCUGAAAUCCCUAAUCUUCCCAUGUCCGACAAUAUUUUCUCAGCUGCCACACUCCAACAAAUACUCUGCACUCCCAUGGCUGAAAUAACAACCCAAAACCUUUUUAUUACAGCGCCAACAAAGCUUUGCUCUUUAUCCAUCUAUCAAAGAACACACUACUCUGCAUCAUACACUGACGAAAAGAAAAAAUAUGGGUUUUGAGAAGGGAGCUUCAUUGUUGGAAGAUUUGGUAGAAAAAGCUGGAGGCUGUGCUGUGAUGGAUGGGGGUUUUGCUACUCAGCUUGAGAGUCAUGGUGCUUCCAUUAAUGACCCACUUUGGAGCGCUCUUUGCUUGAUCAAAGACCCUCACCUUAUCAAGCAGGUACCUUUCGGUCUUCUUUCUCAUUCAGCUUUGUUGGAAAAUAUGUACAUUGCUGUCCUGCAAAUGACUCCAUGUCAAAAACAGGGUAUAAAGUUUGAGACUUGGUUUUAGAUUUUGAAUCAACGUGGAGUGUUCAUAUGUGCAGGUUCAUUUGGAGCAUUUGGAGGCUGGUGCAGAUAUCUUAGUUACUUCAUCUUACUAGGUUUGUUUAUUAGUGUUUUUCAGAUUCAGCCGAAUGACUUGAUUUGUUAGGCUAAUGUGUGAUCUUCUGCCUUUCAUAUAUUCACAAUAUGGAUAUGGUGAAAAGGAUAGGAGCUAAAUGCUUCCUUUUUCUAUGCAAUAGGUCCACCACUUUCUUGUGAAAAGUCAUGGAAAAUAUUCUGAUUUUUCCCUAAGUUUGGCUUAUUAAUGAACCAGACGGAAAAUAAUGUAGUUAUCAUCUAUAUAUGUUCAUCUGCAAUGAUUGAUUCCUUGGAAACAAUCAACAUAUCUUUGUAGAAACUUGCCUACCUUCAUAUUAGGAAGAGUAAUUUAUUUGAGAUUGUAUGGUAAAUGAUAAACCCAAUUUUAAUUACAAUUAUUCACACAUUCCAGAUUUUUUAAUUGAUUUGAAUCGAGCAAUUAGACAUAAAAGAGUAAUAUGGAUUUAAAAAAGAAGAAGCAAAUAUUGCAAUGAUAGUGUUUUCAUAUUUAAUAUUAUUUAUAAUUUUUUAAAAUAAGUUAAUCCUAGAAUAAAACUAUAAACCUCAUGUAUAAUGGUACCUGAACCUAAAUCAUCAAAGACCCAAUCUUAAGCAGCAGCUCAAAACUCGACAGAGGCUAAGGAUGAUGCUGCCUCUGGAGAGGUUGCACAAGCUGAAUAAGGAUGGUGGAGUUAAUAAUGCCACAGGAGCAGCAGUUGGUAGAGGCUUUAUACGGGAUUCAUCGGGCUGCUGGGUUAUGGGGUACAGUUGGAGUAUUGGUUGCUGCUUGAUGUUGCUAGCUGAGCAUUGAGAGCUAUAUGACGGCUUGUCUGUGCCUUGAGAUGCGGGUAUUCGGUGCUGGUGGUGGAAUCUGAUAGUCGGGCUGCGGUGGACCUUGUCACGGAUGUUACCAGGAAGGAGAUGUUGGAGCUCGUAAUGGCUGUUCGUGGCCUUUUGUCUUAGUCGUGGUGGGUAUUGGUGCGUCAUGUUCUGCGAGGUGCAAAUGCGGCAGCGGAUUUUGUCACCAAGCUCGCUAGGGAUUGCCCAUUGGGUUUGCAGCUGGUUCGGCACCCUCCUCCAUUUGUCAAACUCAUGGUUGAAUGGGAAGAGUAGGCCACCUAUUGUCAAUGACUGUUAACUUUGGUUGGCUUUUAGCCUAGGUUCAUUUUUGUUUUCAAAAAAAAAAAAAUUCAAUCUCAAUUUUAUCAUUCAAUCAAAAUCUUUAUAUAUAUAUAUGUAUAUAUUUUAUAGAUAUUUUUUUUACAUAAACUUUUUUUUAUCUACGUUUGUGGAUAUACAACAAUAAAAACCUGAUACUUUUUGAGCAUGCUUGUUAAGAUUCCAAUUGUGUAAGGAACCGAGAAGGGCCAGUGCAAAGUACAGGUGAAAGGAUUUCGGUCUGGUCCCAACUAGUUCGGGGUGGGUUAAACUCAAUACUGAUGGUACUGUUUCUGUAGGUGGUCUUAAGUCCGGGGUUGCUGGUUUGAUUAGGAAUGCGUUGGGAAAUGGGAAGUUGGCUAUAACAGAUUCAUUGGUGUGAGCAACGUUCUUGAAGUAGAACUGCAUGUUGUUUUGAAUGGCUUGAAGAUUGCCUGGGACAAAGGCUUUUAGCAAAUACUGUUGGAAUGUGAUAACCUUCAUAUUAUUAGCUCCUCUUAUUGGUCGAGGCAAUGAUGCAUUUAGCAAAGUUGAGGAAUUAAGUAGAACGAACUGGGUAGUGCAUGUUUCGUAUAUUGGAAGGAUGGUAAUGUGGCUAAAAUAGCUCUAACAGAUAGACCUGGGUUGCAAGUACCUUUAGACCCUUUUUCUGUUGUUCUUGACGUGUGGAGUGAUGAUGUUUCAGGCCUCUCUAGCUAUACAAAUGCUCAACACUUUUCCUUUGUAUUUUGUUGGCUUCACUACACCAAAACAGGCUUUUAGAAGCAGGUCCAGGUUUGCUAGCCUUUGAGACCAUUCCCAAUAAACUUGAAGCUCAGGUUUGUUCUUCCUCAUGUAUACUUUACAUGUAGGAAGUUACAUUCUUCAUUAGCUUUUCAAGUUUCUAGUGAUCACUGAUCCAUUCGUAAUCAAAGCCGAGCAGGGACGAGUGGCGCAUGUAUAAUGCACACUGGCUGCAAAGGUUAAUUAGCAAUCGUUGUGGUUCUUCUGCCUUUUGCGCCUCUCCCUUUUUUUUUGUUUUUUGGCUUUCUUGGUUCUCAGUUUCUCAAUUCUAUCCACAGUUGUAUGGGGAAACCAAAGCACUACCGACCUCCUGCAAGUUCUUUCGAACUUUAUUGCUUUCAAAUUGGCGGUUUAGAUUUUCAAAUUUGACUUAUUGUAAGGAUUUUUUGCUCAUAAUUUAUGGUGAAAUUUUACAGGGAAAGAAAAAGGAAGGAAAUGCUGCGAGAUAUGUGACGAGGUCACAAGCUAUUAAAAUCCUUCAAGUUAGCCUUUCGGAUUUUAGGUUCAUCUCUUCUUUCUCACUUUUAUUAAUUAUUAUUAUUUAAGCUUCCUUUAUUUGCCUUCUUUUAUCAUUUUUUUCAUGUUGUUUUUAGCUUCGAAGAUUAAUUAGCUAAUAAUUUGAAACUAUUGAGCUUCGUUAAGCUGAGAUUAGUUCAUCAAGUAGCAGUUAAUUGCUACUUUUGCUAACUGUUUUUUGCUCACUGAAGCAAAGAGAAGAAGUGUGUAUGGAAAAUAUUCUUAUUGCUAGCUUUUUACUUCAGCAUGAGUUUAUGACUAUGUUUUAAUUGAUAUGAUUUUGUUAUUAUUAUUAUUAUAAAAAAUCGAGGAUUUUAGUAAGAAAACAUAUAAAAAAAAAGCCUCAACCAAAUGAAACGCGUAUUGAUGGGGUUUGUUAUUUUUUAUUAAAUAUGGUUGGCUUCCUUUUUGCUUUAAUGGAUUUAAUACUGCAGGAAACUAUGCAUCCACAAAAGAGUAUUUCCGAGAGAGCCAAAGAAGAAAGUGAAAGGAAAUCAUCAUACUUACUGUCACUUGAAGGAUGUCAUGUACAUUCUUCAUGAUCCACUACUUGAGAAGUUUAGAGAAAUAAGGGCAUAUCAAAGGAAGAUAAAGAAAGCUAAGGCUAAAAAGAAGGAUGAGUUAGCAAAGCUUCUUCUAUCUCGUGCACCUUCUUACAGACUUGAUAUGGUCAUCCGCGAUAGGUUUGUGAAACAAUCUUUGUAUGUUUUAUUUCCUCUCGUUGCUAGUUGUAUCAAAUCUGUAAAACUUUUGUAUUAAAACUUUUAUAGUAAGCAGCAACAUAACUAAAUCACCUUAUGCUGAUAAUGAGAAGAUUUAUUGUUCCUAUUCCCUUGGCUCCAAUUUUUUUGGUUCAAAACUUGAUGUCUAAGUGCAUGCUUGAGUAUUUGGUAAUCAAUCCUGUGAAAUAGUUUCUAGUUAAGGUGGCAUAGAAGCAUAUAGUCCAGGCAUAGUCUGCUCUUACAAUUUAUGAUUGUUUUUUGGUUUCUCCUCUCCACAAACUGUCUAAUGUAGUUGGCAGAAUGAGAUGAUGUUAUUUAUGCCUAUACAUGCAUUUCUCUGUGGAUGGGUAACUUAUAUCUUUGAUUUGAGGCAUAGUUUGAUGACAGCAUAACUUAUUGCUGAAGUUAUACAGCCACGUUGUUUGCAUGCUGAUGACCAGUUUUGACAUUUAAGAUUUCAGCAUAACAUAAUUGUUUGUUAUAUAAUUUUUGUUUUAGCCUUAAUGGCUAUAUAUAAUUUUUAUUUUUAACAUCUCUAUUGUUUAUCAAGUUUGUCGGUUUAUCUGUUCAUUUGGUUUUGCAUCCUUUAGAUAUUGAAGGUGUUGUAGAGGAUUCAAUCUCUUCAAGCUGGAAAAGCCAAGGCUUAGCACUUCUUCAAGUGGAGUGUUUUUUAAUUUUUCAUUCCAUGGUCGUUUAUCUUAGUCGGAACUUGAAUUUGGUGUUAUUGAAACAGGGUUUUGUAGUUACCUUGUGUACUAGCUUCUUUAACCAUGAUUGUUAAUCAUUACGAGUUUUGUAAUUUCUUUUAUAUUUGGCCGAGUUAAUAGAGAUCAGAUGAGCUGUGAGGUAGAUUGCUCAUUUAUUUAAACAUAAUAUUUUAAUUCUAAAUUUAAAUUCAUUAAUUUUUAUAUUUAGCUUUAAAGUUAAAAUUUUAAUAGAAAUUUUAAUUUAAUUAAUUUUUUUAUCCUUAAAAGUAUAUAGUUUAAAGUUUAAAUUUCAAAAAUAAAAUAAAAUAUAAUAUUUAUCAUAGGAAUAAAUAUUAUUUAAUUAAAAUAUAUUUUUUAAAAUUCAUAUUUUUAGCGGCGUUUGUGAAAAAGCGCCGCUAAAAUUCAUUCUUUAUAGCGAUGUUUGUGGUAGAAGCGCAGUUAAAGGUCAUGGUCUUUAGCGGCAUUUUUGGUAGAAGCAUCGCUAAAGGUCAUGAUCUUUAGCGGCGUUUGUGGUAGAAGCGUUACUAAACGUCAUAAUCUUUAGCGGCGUUUGUGAUAGAAGUGCCACUAAAGGCCAUGAUCAUUAGCGGCGUUUUUUCACAUAAACGUCGCUAAAGUUAGCGACGUUGUCUACAGCGACACUUUUUGCGGUGCUUAUUAAAGCGCCGCUAAAAGUUUAUUUUGCUGUAGUGAUUUUAGGAUGUCUAAAAUGGUAUUCCCAAGUUUGUUGAGAGUUUUGGAGACAAUAUACAACUUGCAAACUUCAAGAAACAUAUCUUCUAGUGAAAUGUUGGGAAUUUUUUUAUACAUCUUGGGCACCGGUGCAAAAGGUUCCCAAUGUCGAGAAAGAUUUCAAAGGUUUGGAUCAACAAUAAGUUGACACUUUGCAAUUGUGCUUGAGGAAGUUUCAAGGAUGGCCACUGAUCUAAUUGCCCCCGAAGAUCUUUUUUUUAGCUCAAUACCCGAAUAAAUACGUAAUGAUUCUAGAUAUAUGCUCCAUUUUAAGGUCAAAAUAUUAUUUUAUAUUAUUAUAUUUUAAUAUAUUUGGUCGACUAAAAAUAUGCACGAGAGUAAUAUGAUUAUUUGUUCAGGACUGCAUAGGUGCAAUUGAUGGUACUCACAUUGCCACUAUUCUUCCAGCAAAUGAACAAAUUCCCUAUAUUGGAAGAAAAUGUAUCCCGACUCAAAAUUUUAUGGCAGUAUGUGAUUUUAAUAUGUGUUUCAUCUUUGUCAUGGUUGGAUGGAAAGAAUCGACACAUGACACUAGAAUAUUUCUUGAUGCAAUUUGAGAUCCAAAAUACAAAUUUUCGCACCCACCAAAUGGUUAGAUAUUUUAUUUAUAUGUGCUUUUUUAAAUAAUAAAGUAUAAGUUCUUUAAUUGAUAAUUUUUAUAAAAAAAAUUCUUGAAUUAAUUGUUUGUUAUAUUAUGACUUGUAGGAAAAUAUUAUCUUGUUGAUUCUGGAUAUCCUCAAAUGAAAAGUUAUCUUGGACCAUAUAGAGGUCAGCGAUAUCAUUUACCUGACUUUCGUAGAGGUAGACCAGUAUCUGGUAAAGAAGAGAUAUUCAAUCAUUCACAUUCAUCAUUACGUAGUGUGAUUGAACGAACUUUUGGUGUUUUGAAAAAAAUGGGUUAUUUUAAGGGAUAUGCCAAGUUAUAGUUUUGAAAAGCAAACGAUGAUCGUUGUUGCUACAAUGACGAUACACAAUUUUAUCCGAAAACAUGUCGGUCGAACUGAUGCAGAUUUUAUGAAAUACGAAGAUAUUAACUGGGCAUAUGAGAAUAUUAUUGAUUCAGAAAAUGCACAUGGUCGAGAAAGUGAUGAUGAUGACGACAACAAUGAUGAUGGUGAUGACAGUGAAUCAAACAAUUCAAGUGGUUUUGAAAUGGAAUUAACAAGAGAUGCUAUAACUUCUAGUUUAAUGAAUUCACUUUAAAUUGUAAAUGCUAUUGUAAAAUUUUUAGUAUUUAUAUUUGGUAUAUAAAUAUUAUCCCUUUUUAAAACUUUAAUCCAAAUAUAUGUGAUAUUUUAAUUUUUUAGGUUUAUGUUUUCUAUGUUAUGUUAAUAUCUAAUAUGAGUUAUAUAUUCAAAUACAUUUUAAAAUAAAAUAAUACAAAUGUGUCAAUAUCUAAUUACAAAUAUUUAAUUAUUAUAUUUAAAUAUUUAAAUAUAGUUUGUAUAUUCUAAUUAUAUUUAAUAAAUAAUUAAUAUUAAUUACUUAGAAAUAUUUAAAAUUAAUAUUAUAUACUAAAAUAUUAACAAUAAAUUAUAAUAAAUUAUUUUUUAUAUCUUUGCUAAAAUAUCAUAAUAUUAACUAAUUUGAACAUUAUUUAAAUACAUAUUUGUUACUUUAUAAUAUCAUUUCUAAAAUGGACAUUUUAUUCUUCAAAAGCACUUUUUGACAGCAAUAUCAAACACUCAAAAUUUUCAAAAGUACUUCUCAAAAGUACUUUUCCACAGCACUUUUCCAAAGCAAUGAAGAACUGGCCCAAAAGCACACUAGCUUUCGCCGUCUCAUCCGCAAAAAAACCUAAAAUGAUACACCAGAAACUCCCUCAAGACAGACAGAGCCAAGUCACUUUCUCGCUAAUCCCCAUCGAACCCUCCAAUUAAGCAAAGCCAUUUCAUAUUUCAACCCAGUGGGCACCACAAUUGCCUUACAAAAUUUACAAACUAAAAUGCUAAAAGUAAUCCAGAAAAAUACACAGCCCAAGCUCCAAAAUGCAAGAAAGUCCAUUUAAAAUAUGAGCCAAAUUUAGAUUUCAGUUUAAAAACUUGAAUCUAAUUCGUUUUUAAUUUUGUAAUAUAGUAUAUUCACUACAAGAAAAAUAUGAAUUGUCAACAUUAAAAUUUAUUGCUAAAUGUUGUAUUACCAUUACUAAGAGUUUAUUGCAACAACAAAAAAAUCGUUGCGAGGUCGUUGUGUAUACCUCUAUUGUACAAAAUAUGCACAACGAUUUUACAAAUUGAAAAGUCGUUUUAAUUAUAUAUAUUGCAACAACUUUUUUCAUUUUAAAAUAUAUAUUUUUUGUAACGACUUAAUUUAUUUGUAUAAAAAUGUUUUAGUUAUAGUAAAAUCUGUUAUAAUAUUUUUAACACAACCAUAAUACUUUAGUUACAAAAACUAUUACCUAACAAUAAUAUAUUGGUUGUAAUAUAAAAUUUGCAACAACUGUAAAUUAAAAUGCUAAGUUUUGUACGUAACAAUAAUAAUAUUGAUAUGUAAUUGUAUUACAUUACUCAAUGAUUAUAUGUCAUUGCCAAAAAAAUAUUUUAAUAACCAUAAAAUGUGGUUGCCAAAUCAUUUACUUAAGAACAAUACUACUGAUUACUAAAUAUUAUUCUGCAACUAUUUUAAUUUAUUGUGUACUACAUUGCUGUAACACCCCUAAUGUAACACCUCUUACCCGAGACCGUUUUUGGAGUCGAGCACGAGGCAUUACUUAGCUUAUCUUACUAAUUCGGAGCAUAAAAACUUGGUUUGAAAAUUUAUUUCACUAUUUACAGCAAAUCUGUCCACCCAUGCAGUAGUCACUUAUUUAAUUAUAACUCGAGUUACGAAACUCAAAAUUUAGAUCCGUAAAUUUUCCCUGAAAUUAGACUCAUAUAUCUUUUCACCAUAAAAUUUUUCAGAAUUUUUGGUUUAGCCAAUUAGUACAGUUUAUUAGUUAAAGUCUCCCCUAUUUCAGUGACCGACCAUCCUGACCUCUUGUCACUAAAAUUCAAUUAUCUCUUUGUACAGACUUCAUAUGGUGCUUCCACUUAUUUCUCCUGAAAAUAGACUCAUAAAGGAAUAUAUACAUAUAAAUUAUAACUCAUAAUUCCUUCUGUGAAAUUUUUAAUGAAUUUCUAAAGUCAGAACAGGGGACCUCAAAAUCAUUCUGACCCUGUCUCACUAAAAUUCAAAUAUCUAAAAAUAUACAACUCUUUUUCUUACUCUAUUUCUUUCAUGUGAAAUUAGACUCAUUCAGCUUUAAUUUAGUAUCUCACUCAGAUUCUAAUUCAAUUUCCACCAUUUUUGAUGAUUUUUCAAAGUUACCUCAAUGCAUAUAUCCGAAAACUGUUCCAUUGCAAAUUUUAAAAAAAUUCAAUAUAACCCCUUUGUAAUUAUCUAACCUUCCCUGCAAAUUUAAAUCACAACCAAUUCCAGUAUUUCAACUACUUCAUUUAAAUACUAAUGAAGUUCAACCAAUCAACCAUUUCAAACAAAAAAAAAACAUGUAUAUAUUUCGAUAUCUAACACAACCAUAACAUUCAAAUUUAUUUUGCAUACUUAGUCAUUCAUACUAAUACUUUUUACUUCAAUUCCCUAUACAUGCCAUAUAAAUCCAAAAAGUUGUUUAACAAAAUCUACCGGAGUAAAUCUGGAUAGUGUGAUCGUUGUUGUAGAUCCGAUCCUCCGAAAUAUAUAUAUACGUCAAUCUACAAGAAACAGUAAACACACACCAGUAAGCUUACAGAAAGCUUAGUAAGUUCACAGGCUCAUAAUAAUAUAUUACCAAAAUUUCACUAACAACAUUAACAAACAAAUAAAAAUUCAGCAUUUCCUGCCAACCCCAAUCUCAAAUAAUAAAUAUAUAUAAUCGUGCUCAAUUUCAGAUGUCAACUUCUAUUCCAACAUUUAGUUUCAAUUGCACUUACAAAUACCUGUCAAAUUAAGGAUCGUCUUACGGAAUUGAGUACAUCGUUUGCCCGUGCCACGAUUUGCUUGAACAUUUCACAUUGCUAUAAUUCAGUAUGGUUUUCUUCCUUGAAAUACCAUACCUACUUUUCACAACUUAGUAUGGUUUUCUUCAUUGAAACACCAUACCUACUUUUCACAACUCAGUAUGGUUUUCUUCACCGAAACACCAUACCUACUUUUCACAAUUUUCCAUGGAUCCACCAUGGACUUAUCCGUCAAUUCGUCGUUGGUUGCCAAACAUGUGUACUCAAUCCUGCGUAUCCCUUAAUUUGAACUAACAAUCUCAUCUUCUUCUCAUUUUUACCAUAAUCAUAAUUCAGUAACAAUAUACGAAUUUAUACAAUAUAUCAUUUCCACAUUAACAAUUAAUCAUAAAAAUUCAGCCAUAUGAACUUACCUGGGCCGAUUUGUAGAAGUUUUAAAAGUUCAGAAACUAGUUUGAUACUUUCUCUUUUCCGCGUUUAUCUUCGGAUUCCCGAUCUAUAAUAUAAAUUUUUCCAUUCAUUAGCAUCUAAUUCAAUACUAAUUUACUUCACAAUUUAUGCCUUUCAAUUUUCAAAAUUACACUUUUACCUCCAAAAUUUACAAUUUUUACAAUUUGGUCCCUACUCAAUUAACCCUUCAAUUGAUCAAAAUUUUCCCAAUUAACACUUUAUCCAACCAUUUUAGACUACUGAACAGCCUUUGAUAUUCAUAAUUUCAGUACAAAACCCCAAUUCCUAACUUUUUCACAAUUAGGCCCUAAAAAUCAUUUUCUACUAAAAUCAUUUUAAUAAGAUCAUAAUAUAAUGAAAUUAAGACUUAAAAUCUAUAAUAAUUCAUCAUAAAAUUCCAGAACUUAUUCAUGGUAACUUACAAAAUCACUCAUAAAUUCAAAAACUAACAAAUUCAAUAGUUGGACCUAGUUGUAAAAGUCACAAAACAUGAAAAUUUCAAAGAAAAAAGCAAGAAUUGAACUUACAUGAUGAAAAAUAUGAAAAACCAGCUUGAAAACUCUCUCCUAUUACGUUUUGGCUGAAGAAAAAUGAUGAUAUCUCUAGAUUUUUCACUUUUAUCUUUGUUUUAUAUAUUUAAUUUGUAAAAUUUCCAAUUUUGCCCUUAUUUCUCCUUACUUUCCUGCUGAUUUUUCUUGCCCAACCGUCCAGCCCAUAAAAUUUUGGGCCUAAUUGCCUUUUAAAUCCCUCCUCAUUAGUCACUUAAGCUAUUUAAUCAUAAUUUAACAAAUUUUACACUAGUCUCAAUUUAGUCCUUUUUAGUUAAUUGACUAACCAAACGUUAAAAUUUUCUAACGAAACUUUUAUACUAACUCAAUGACAUUCCAUAAAUAUUUAUAAAAAUAUUUAUGGCUCGGUUUAUGAACUCGAUGUCUCGACACCGCAUUUUAGACCCACUUUACCUAUUAAAUUCUUUUUAAAUCACAAAAUUCACUAAUUCAAAAUUCUUCUAAAUUCACACUUGACCCAUAAUUAUUAAUUUAUUAAAUUUUAAGACUCACUUGUCAGAUUUAGUGAUCUCGAAUCACUGUUUCUGACACCACUGAAAAUUAGGCUGUUACAACUAACCCGAAUCCGUCGUCAGAACAAAGUUAUGGAGCAUCACCGAAAUUUACAAAUUAAUUUUCAGACAUCUAUUUCAUCUAGCAUUCAUAUUUGAAACCAACCAAAAUCAAAAUAUUAAUGAGCCAACGUUGGCUAAAUUAACUUAUACAUGCCAUUAUAACUAGAACCAAAUCAUCCAAAAUUACCGAUAAAACCAAUGGAUAGUGUGAUAUAUCUCCGACAAGUUUCCAACCCAAUCGAGCUUCCGAUUAUCUGUAGGGUAAAUAAAAAAAAUAAAUGCGUAAGCAAUGAAUGCUUAGUAAGCUCGUGUAGUCUUUAAUCAUAUUAGUUCCUUUAAAAUAUGAAAUUUAUGCAUAUCAUGGAUAACCCAAAGUUGAUACCACAAUACCCAUGAAGCUAUAUUCAUCAACUUACAAGGUAAAUAAAUCCACAAUAUCACUUAAACACAUUAUCCCAAGCUUAGUAGGAUUUUAUAUAACUUUAUCUCUUCAUAAUUUCUUUAUUUUCAUUUUCAUUUCUUUACUUUCCACGCUUAUUCUAUAUGCGUGACACACAAGUCAUAAACAUUUCAUUCAACCAUAGUCACAAGCUAAUGCAUUUCCAAAGUCUUUUUCAAAUUGAUUACAUGAUAAGUUAUUUCAUAAGAAAUUGUAUAAUCUAAACCUUACCACUUUUUAGUGAGCGCUAGCAUAUUUUCACUUAAAUACUUUCCAAUUCAAUGCAUUAUAUAAAUAAUCAUAAUAUCAUUCAACCAAUAGCUUGGCACUUGCCUAAGCAUCAAGCAAGAAUACUAGUUAGUGUACUUGCACACAUUACAUAUAAACUCAUCAUGCAUAAUUUUCUUGUAUCAACAUAUUAAAGAUAAUCAUACAUUUACAUGUCAUGAUACAUAUCAUUCUCUUGUCGUUUCUUCAUAGACAUAUAUCAUUCAUUUCAUUAUUUCGAUAUUUCAUGUACCAUCAUUUUCAUGAAUUUCGUACAUACCAGUAAUAGUUCAUUUCAAAUUCAUGUUAUCUCACUUUAAAAUUUUACCCGUUAUAUCAUUUAAAUAUCAAUGGUUAUAUUUAUUUUAGAUCAAUACCAAUAAUAAUCUAUAAAUCUUUCAAUUCAAUCACAUAAGUCUUUUACCAUUUCUUUCUGAAUCGAAGAACGACUUACGGAUAUUAGUACAUCAUUCUUUGGUGCCAUAUUCCAACUAUGGUCUUGCACAUAUAAACACUGCCAUAGUCCAACCAUGGUCUUACAUUUAUAGUGCCAUAACCCAGUUGUGGUUUUAUCCAUCAAUUCAUCCUUUGUCACAGUACGAUUGUACUCAAUCCCGCGUUCAAUCCAAAUUGAGUAUUGAAUUCGAUAUUAUAUUUCCAAUAAUAAUUCAAUUUCAUAUUUUCUAUUACCCUUAUUAUUUCCCCAUAUUUAUCCCGUUGAAUUUCUUGGAAAUUCGAUGGAUUUUCAGAUGUACACUUUUAGUGUACAAUUCCGGGUCCGUCAAUUCAUAUUCAUGUGGGCACAUUUCCAUUUCAGAGAGCACACUCCUGCGAACCUCAUCCUUACAGCGGGAUUGCCAGUCCAGGCUAAAUCCCCUAUAAUAUAAACUCAUAGAGUAUUGUCGGGAUUACCAGUCCAGGCUAAAUCCCCUGCAACGACAAUUAUUGUAAUGAUUUUGGAUCUGAAUUAUCAGUCCAAGCUAAAUUCAGACCCUAAUUCAGAUUACCCGUCCGGGUUAAAUCCAUUUUCCACAUAUUCUUCGGGAUGGCUAUAUCAGGAUAGGAUCACCCGUCCGGGCUAGAUCCUUUUUACCGUCAAUUCCUUUUCAGAGAUCUAUCGAAUUUUCCUUCCAUUCAACCGGGAUUUCUUCCCCUUUUUAUAAAAUAUAUCAAUGUUUCAUCAAUUUUCAUACAAUGAACAUUCAAAUCAUAUUACAUUAAUAACAAACAUUUCAAGAAUUUAAGAAUAUAAUUCAAGUUACACGAACUUACCUCAUUACUUGUUCGUGUUUACAAUUUCACUAAUUUGAUGUCUUUUCUUUUCCACGUUCAAGUUCCAUAUUUGAGUCAUUCGGAUCUUUCUAAACAAAUUUGAUCAUCAUUUUCAUUCAUUUCAUAUUCUGAUAUAUUCAAUUAAUACUCUAGGCAAGAUUACCAUAUUGCCCCUAAGCUUUUAAUUAAUGACGAUUUUAAUCCUUGGGCUCAGAAAAAUAAAUUAUUGUAAUUUUAAUCCUUGUUUUAAGCCUAAUUAUUCCCAUACAUAUUGAUAACAGCCCAUGAAUUCUAUAAAAUAUUAGAAUUUUUCAUAAUUUCAACACUUUUCAAUUUAAUCCCUAAAACAUGUUUUCACCCGAUCUUGUUCUAAAUUUCAUUCAAUUUUGUAAUUUAAAUAAAUAAACAGUCCAUUUCAUGCAAUUUGGUCAUUUUUGACAUUUUUUACAAAUUGCCCAUAAAGUUUUACUUUUAUUCAAUUUAGUCCCUGAGUCUAAAACAUGCAAAUUAUCCAUGCUAACUGAAUAUUCACAUAUAUAUCUUCCUCAUCCUUCUCUUCAUUCCACUUCCUUAAUUUAUAUAAAAUGCUUAUAAGUAACAUUAUCUAUGAUUUCACAAUUUACUUGUAAAUUUAUUCAAAGCUAUCCAUUUGAGUCAUAAUCACUAAAUUAUUUUUAUCUUGAGCUACGGAACUUCAAAUUAGGAUCUGCUAAUUUUUCCUGAAACUAGACUCACAUAUCUUCUUACCAUAAAAUUUUUAGAAUUUUUGGUUCAGCCAAUAAGUACAACUUAUUCUUUAAAUUCACCUCUCUUCUGCUAUCUGACAAUUCCGACCCUUCUUCACUUAAAAUUAAUUAUCUCUUUGUAUAGAAUUUGGAUUAUGUCCCCAUUUUUUUCUCUUGAAAAUAGACUCAUUAAGGAUUUUAAACAUAUAAAUUCUAACCCAUAAUUAUUUUUUUACUUUUUAAUGAUUUUUCCAAGUCAGAACAGGGGAACCCAAAUUCAUUCUGACCUUGUCUCACAAAAUUUAUUAUAUCUCAUAAUUUACGAUUCUAUUGCUUACACCGUUUCUUUUAUGAGAAAAUAGAAUCAAUAAGCUUUAAUUCCAUAUUUUAUUCAUACUCUAAUUCGAUUUUCAUAAUUUAUGGUGAUUUUUCAAAGUGAGCCUACUGUUGCUGUCCAAAACUGUUUUAGUACAAUAUGUUUAUUACCAUGUUUAUAACACCCUUAUUUUCUUUCUUUACACUGUGUCUAAUCACUUUCUCUUAUUUUCUCUUCACUAACAUAUCAAGAACAUAGGACCAUAUAUACAAAAACUUUACAUUAACAUCAUUUCCAUACUUUUUCAAUAAUAUUAAACUUAAAAAUAUAUUAAAAUCUUAAUGUACUUACCUUGUCAUAUUGAUUUCAAUCUUUAACUUGAUUUUCUCUCUCCUCCAGCAUCUAUUUCUUGAAUCUAACUUGAUAUUCUAGCUCCCCAUAGUCUCCUUGUUAUCUUUCUCUUUGAUGGAUAUGGAAAUUCUUUUGAUUUCUAGGUGAAAAUGGUGAAUUUUUGGUGGAAGGACUAAAUUGUAAAGAAAGUAAAACUUUCUUUCUUUCUCUCUUUUCCUCACGUUAGUGCAUGAAAAAAAAUGGGUGGGUUGCAUGAUUCUUCAUCUUCCUUUUCUUAUAUAUAUACUAAAUAAAAUAAUAAUAAAAUAUUAAAAUAUCAUUUAAAAAUCAAAUUAAAAUACUAAUAAACUAAUAUUUAUUUAUUUAAUCAAAAAUAUCUCCAACAUCAUCAUCAUCUUCUAUAUUUCCCUCUCUUCUAAUUGAUCAUUUUGCCCUUUAUGAUCUUUUAAAAUUUUAUCCUUGAGUCAUCACUUAAUUUGGUAAAAUUACUAUUUAGUCCCUCAAAAUUCUUCACCUUUUUCAAUUUGGUUCUAAUCCAUCCAUUUUCCUUAGUUUCUAGAUCAUUCCACCCUUAAAAUAUUUACACCAUUGGUCCUUCAAAUUUUUAUAUUUACACUUUAAGCCCUCAAUUUUUGAGUAUUUACUCUUGGGCAACAAAAUGUUUUUCACUUUUACGAUUUAAUCCUUUCUUGAACUAAUAUGUCAUAAUAUACUUCUCAAUGUUGACAUAACUCAAAAAUUUCCCCUUUUUGUCGCUUUAUUUCCUUACUUUAUUAUAUCAAAGAUAAUAUCUUACUGUAAAAAAAUUUUAGGGUAUUACAAUUGCGCAACAACAAUAUUAUUUUUAAUCAAAUGGCUAUAUAUAAUUUAAUAAAAUUUUAAAAAAUUUCUUAAUAAAAUUUUAAAAAAAAUUUCUUCAUCCUCUAACUUAAUAAAAUUUUUAAAAAAAAUUCAUGUUAGAUUGAAUUGACAUUGAGGUUAUAUAUAGUCACUGGUCAUGUCAAAGAGAAUAGCUCUACCAAAAUAAAAAAUUUAUUUUUAUUAAAAAUUUUAAAAAAAAUUAAUUGCAGCAUAGUAACCGUCAUUCUCUAUGACUCUAUCAAAUAAAAUAAUAAUUUUAAUUUCAAAUUAAAAAUAAAAAUCACUUUAAAAAUUUGACAUAAUAAAAGUGGUGUGACCAAUUUAUUUGGCUCCCGAAAUAUUAUUAUUUAUUUUCUAGUUCCCAAAAUAUUUAAAAAUAUUGGUGUUAGAGUGGUAUUUAUACGGGUGAAGCCAAAUAAAUUAACUUUACCUACAAAAAUUAAUUUUUGUUAUAAAAUAAAGAGAGAUGGAGAGAAUGAAGAACAAAUAAAAUAUGAAAGCAAUAGAGAAUGUACUUUAUUGAUCAAAGGGAUGAUUACAAUGCUUCAUCGGAGUCUCUAUUUAUAGGCAUAAGAAGUAUAAAAGAAGUAGAGGUCUAAUUCUAAUAACUAAUAGAAUUUAAAGUAUAUCAAAGCUUUAUCUUGAUCAUGAUGGACAUCCACUAAAUAAGAUAUUUAUAACACUUCCCCUUGGAUGUCCAUUGGUGGAUAAUGUGCCACGUUAAAACCUUAUUAGGAAAAAUCCUGUGGGAUAAAAACCUAAUGAAGGAAAAAGAGUACACAAUCUUCUAUUACAAGUUGUCUCAUUAAAAAUAUUUACCAGGAAAACCCAAUGGGACAAUACCUUGGUUAAAGGAAAAGAGUACAACUUAUUUUAGACUCCCCCUAAUAGCAACAUUACAUUACAUCUUUAAGUUGACGCAUUCCAAUCUUGUGUAGUAGUCUUUCAAAUGUUGAAGUUGGCAAUGCCUUAGUAAAAAUAUAUGUUAAAUUAUCACUAGAAUGAAUUUGUUGAACAUUUAUAUCACCUCUUUUCUCAAGAUCAUGGGUGAAGAAUAAUUUUGGCGAAAUAUGUUUCGUUCUAUCACCUUUGAUGUAACCACUCUUCAAUUGAGCUAUACAUGUUGCAUUAUCUUCAUAUAAGAUAGUUGGCAUCUUUUCCUAUAAAGGCAAAUUACAUAUCUUCUAGAUAUGUUGGGUCAAUAACCUUAGUCAAAUACACUCUCGACUUGCCUCAUUCAUUGCAAUUAUUUCUACAUGAUUUGAAUAAGCAACAGCUAAUGUUUGCUUUGUCGAACAUCAUGAUAUGGUAGUACCCCCCUCACAUGUAAAUAAAUAUCAUGUUUGAGAUCGACCUUUAUGUGGAUCUGGUAAGUAUCCAGCAUCAGCAUAGCCAACUAAUAAGGAUUUUGAAUCAUCUGAAUAAAAUAAACCCGUACCAAUGGUCCCUCUGAAAUAUCUAAAUACAUGUUUAAUUCCAUUCCAAUGCCUACAUGUUGGAGAAGAACUAAAUCUUACUAACAAGUUUACAGUGAAAGCUAUAUCAGGUCUUAUGUUGUUUGUAAGAUACAUCAAUGCCCUUAUGGCACUUAGAUAUGGUACUUUAGGACCAAGAAACUCUUCAUCAUUCUCGCAAGGAAGAAAUUGAUCUUUAUUCACAUCUAACGAUCGUACAACCAUCGGAGUAGUUAAUGGGUGUGUUUUAUCCAUGUAAAAUUUCUUUAAUAUCUUUUUCAUAUAAGUUGAUUAAUAAACAUGAAUUUUAUCUUUUAAAUGCUUGAUUUGUAAUCCAAGAUAAAACUUUGUUUUUCCAAGAUUUUUCAUCUCAAAUUCUUUCUUUAAACAAUUUAUUGUAUUUUGAAGCUCUUUAGGAGUUUCCAAUAAUAUUUAGAUAAUCAACAUAAACAACAAUUAUUACAAAAUAUGAUCCAAACCUUUUUAUAAAGACACAUGGACAAAUUGGAUCGUUUUUGUAACCUUCCUUUAACAAAUGUUCACUAAUACGAUUGUACCACAUGUCGAAACCAUUUUUUAAGUUUGAAAAAACAGGGAUCGACUUUUAAAAUAAAAACGGGAGUCGCCACCGAUCUUUUAUUAAGGUGUGACCGGUUCACCAUUAAAAUGAUUUUUGGUCUGCGAAUUUUGAGAAAAAUAGGUUCGGGAGUCGGUUACGCACGAGGAAGGGUUAGCACCCUCGUAACGCCCAAAAUUGGUACCGAAUCGAUUGUUUAAUGUCUUAAUGUCGAGAAUUUGAAAAGAUUUUUAAAAUACGAUCAUUUGAAAAGAGAAUUUGAAUAGAAUGAAUUUGAUUGAUGUGACUCACUUAUAAAUUGUCACACUCAGUAAGUUAGAGUGUAACGUUUUAAAUCCUUAAAAUUAAGUUUAUCUUUUAACUUUUGAAACCUAUGCAUUUUAAGAAAGAUAUCCGAUUAUUUGGGUCAAAUGAUAAAAUCAAAACCCAGUAAGUUAGGGCUCGAUUUCACAAAAUUCCUAAAUAUCGAAUAUUGCCUUUAUUUUAAAGUCGAGAUAGCAAAAUGCCAUAUCCAGUAAGUUUGGAUCCAACAUUUUGAAGUCUCAAAAGUUUUAUUUUAAAAUUGUAUGGUUUUACCAAAAUAAACACUUGGCUAUUCAAAUUCAUCGAGAAGAAUGGAAGCCCAGUAAGUUAGGGCACCAUUCUCUCGAGAGUUAUGGACACCAGGCCUUUUUUGAAAAUUAUGAAAUAGAACGAUUGUUGUGCUUAAAAAAAACAAACAAUUUUUAUAAAUGUAGCAUGAUUGAAUGGUAAUAUACAAUGUUCAAGAUAAAUGGCAAUCCAAACACACACUAAAAAAAACAAGUAAAUAAUAGGUAAAUGCAAAUAUCAAUAAUAAUUCUAAUCAUAUCUUACAAACAUCAAUAUUAGCAAUUUAACAUCCAAUAAAUUAAUAAUCAAUUUUCUAAAAGGUACAUCAAGACAAUGAGAGAAAAAAUAAUUAAUAUCCUAUACAUAAAAGUUCUAAAAUAAAUUAAAUAUAUGAAUUCAAAAUAGACUCAAAAUAGAAUUAGAAUAACCAUUGAAUAGUCGAAUUUGAAAUAAAUUUGAAGCAAAUAAAAUACAUAUAUUAGCUUAAUAUAUAUAAAAGAUAAACAUAAUAAUAAUAAUAAUAAUAAUAAUAAUAAUAAUAAUAAUAAUACAUAUACUCGAUUAAAAAACAUACAUAAAAUAUUGAAAGUAAAACGAAAUUUAAUGGGUAGCAAACAUAAAUAAAAAUAAAAGAAAGAUUAAAUUUGAACUUCAAAAAAAAGAGGGACUAAAACAGCAAAUAGACGCAUAAUUCUAAUGAUUUUAAUCUGCUUGAUGAAAACGACGACGUUUGAAUAUGGAUUUAAAUGAAAUCAAAAUCAAAUCCACAGUUCAAAUUUAAAAAGUGAAUAAAAUCCAAUUGAAAUUAUACUGAACACGGAGAGACUCAUUGCGCAAAUAGACCAACGAGCGAAAAUGCGCGGAUCCUCCCCAGGUCGGGUCACACACGCGGGUCAUAUGGCCAAUACGGCGCCGUUUUAAGGCCACUGACGCAGGCCUUAAACGGUGUCGUUUUCCGCACCAUAAAUAUAAACUUAAAAACCCUAAAAAUAGCAGCCAUCCUUUGUCCUGGAAGAAAACCUAGAGCAAAGCUACUCCCCCCUGCACCACUUCAGCAUCGGAGCCCAAAGUCGACUGGUUCCGAACCAACGAGGGAUUCGACGGUAGACUUAUAGGUACGAGCCCUGACUCCCCCCUUCCUUCUCUCCUUUUUUUUAUGCUUAUAUAUAUGUAUUAAUAACAAAACAAAAAGAAAGAAAAGCGAUCGGAAAAAGAAAAGAAUCGAUCAGAGAAAAAAGAACCUUUUUUUUAUUGAUUUCCUUUUUGAUACAGUUUUUCGUGUGUUUUUUGUGUGCGAGAGUAACCCCCUUUUUAUAAUGCCUAUUUUGCUUUUUUUUUUUUAGCCAGAAAACAUGAAAAGAAAAGAAAAAAUGUUUUUCCUUCUUUGUUGUUGCUGCUGUUUUCUGUUUGUCUUCUCUUGCAGGUACGGGUGUGCGUGGCGUGGCUUGACAUGUACGGAGGCAAAGGUUGGCGAGGAGCGGCUCGGUUGGGUCUGUUGUGCGAGGGAGUUGCGGCGCCUGGUCUGUUCCAGAAACCCUAGGGUUUUUGGAAGCUGUUUAGGGCUAUUAGUGUUUGGGCUUAUUGGGCCUGGUGUAAUUGGGGUUAAACUUUAGUGGGCCUUAGUGGGUUAAUAACUUGUAUUGGACUGUUUUUAUUGGACUUUUGAUUUAUUUGGCUUUUUAUUUUUUUAUUUACUUGUUUUUUUAUAUGCAUGUGGGCGGGCACAAAUUGGGUUUUACACCACAUACAUUCAGAUUAUUUUUAUCCAUAUAAACUUUUCUUUAAUUUGAUUGAGUAAUUUUCUCAAGAAACUCUAUAUCAUUUUGGGAUUUUAAAUCUUUCAAGGAUUUUCAUAUAAAUUUCACUAUCAAGUGCACCAUAUAAAUAAGAUGUAACAACAUCCAUUAAAUGCAUGUCAAGUUUUUCUCGUACUGCCAAACUAAUAAGAUGUCUCUUCAUAAUCAAUGUUGGGCCUUUGCGAAAAUCCUUUUGCUACAAGACGAGCUUUAUAUCUUAUGACUUCAUCAAUUUCAUUUCAUUUUCGCACAAAUACUCAUUUAUAUCCUACCGACUUUACACCUUUAGGUGUUUUGGACUACAGGUCCAAAAACUUCACGUUUAGAAAGUGAAUCCAAUUAUACUUGAAUUGCAUCUUUCCAUUUUGACCAAUCUUUUCUAUUUUUACAUUCCUUAAUAGAUUUAGGCUCAGGAUCCUCAUUUUCUAAUGUUAUUUCAAUAGCAACAUUAUAAGCAAAAUUGUUGUCGACAACUACAUUAUUUUUGGUUCCAUCUUUUUAUCGUAUUGACAUAACUUAUCGAUAUCUCUUUAUUUUCAUCAUUUCUAUUUUCAUUUUAAGGUACCUGAAUCUCUUCUUGAGUUUUAUAAUUAGUUAUAUCAUAGGUCUCUUCAGGAACUCCUGCCUCCACUAUGUGACCGCCUUGAAUGUUUACUCCUUUUCUUUUAUAAGGAUUUUUAUCUUUGGAACCGACCGGUCUUCUAUGCUUCAGGCAUGGAUUACUUUCUUUUGCAUUAACAGUUUGCCCUAUUAGGACAUCAAUUCGUAUUGGAGCAUUUUCAGCUGGUAUUUGAAAUUUAAUGAAUUUGGCAAUUGAUUUGUAAAAUAAAUUAUCUGUUGAACUUCUACUUCACGUUGCUUUGUACGAGGAUCUUAAAUAUUGAUAAUUCAGUUCAAGUACUUUAUUAAUCCAACUUUUAUUCUCUCACUCCAAUGUUGGGAAAACUGACAACUCAUGUCAUAACUAAAUACCGAAUUAAUAGCUCAAAAAUAAUAUAAGGAGACUCAUAUAAAUAUACAUUCCCAAUCUCUUAUUAUGACCCAUCUUUGUGCGUUGUGGUGGAGCAGUUGGAACAUAUAUCGCACAUCUAAAAAAUGUAAGAUGGAAAAUAUUUGGCUCUUAACCAAAAAUCAAUUGUAAUGAAGAGUAUUUAUAAUUUAUUGGCUUGAUGCAUACAACAUGUAAAUCAAUACAAUCUCAUGCUGAAAUAGAAAGUUUUGUUCUCAUAAGUAAUGAUUUAGCUAUUAGUUGGAGGCAUUUGAUAAACAAUUCAGCUAAAUCAUUUUGUGUGUGAUCAUGAGCUACAAGAUGUUUAACUUUUAUCCCAAUUGACAUGCAAUAAUCAUUGAAAACUUGGGAUGUAAACUCACUAACAUUAGCAAGAUAACUUGUUUUAAUUGCAUAAUCUGAAAUUAAUCAUUUAAACAAGCAGUCUCGCAAACAAAAGGUUGCGAGUUGAUAACGCAUGUGAUUAUUUUGUAGAUGCAUCUACCAAAAUCAUAUAAUAUCAAAAUCAUCCACAUGGUGGAUGAAUGGGCCCAUAUUCAUUUCAGAAAUGCAAGACAUUAAAUCUCAACUUUAGCUAGUGAGUUUCUAAGAUUCAACUUUCAUUGAGAACAAGCAACAAAUGAGAAUUCUUUAAAUUAAAUAAUCUUUUGGAUCUUUAAUGAAUGUCCAUAUGAAUUCUCAAUUAAUUUUUGAAUCAUAUAUGAUCCAGGAUGGUCUAACUGGUUACGCCAAGUAGUAAAUGCAUUUGUAUUAGUAAACUUCUUGUUUACUUUAACAUGUGUUUCAAUUGUACUAAAUUGUAAUAAAUUGAUAAUUUUAUUGUCAUUCUUUUAUUUUGUAUCCACAUAUAAAUACUAUAGUGACAUUUACUAUUGGAAAUGUCUAAAUCUAUGUGAAGUCUAUAAUGCCACUAAGUCAAUAAAUAAAUAUAAUUUUCAAAUAAUUAUAUAUAAUAUUCGUUUUAGGGAAUAUGUCAAAAUAUUCAAAUAUAAGGCAUUUGGUCUAGUGGUAUGAUUCUCGCUUAGAGUGCGAGAGGUCCCAAGUUCGAUUCAAAAUAUAAAUAACUCAAUCCUCUUUUGAUUCAUAUCAAAUAUAAUCUUUUCCUCAUUCACAAUCUCAACAUGAGAUCCAUUAUGAAUAUCUUUUAAAACUAAUGCAUUAACUAUCACAAACUUUGUGCUUUUUAGAUAUUGAUAUAUUAUCUCUUCUAGAGCUUUCAAUUAACUUUUUACUAUCAAAUAUUGGAAUAUAUUUGUUUAUUUCAGCACCAAAUAAGAUAAAUAUUUUCUAUCUGUAAUGAUAAAAUUUAUUACUAGAUUCUCAUAUCCUUCCUUAAAGGAUAUUAUCAGAGACAAAAUAUUUGGGCAUGCACCACAUAUGUGACCAGUAAUCUCCAUAUCACAUUGGUAACAUAAGUUAUAUUUACCAUUUGAAAAUUUAUCUUGAGAACUCUCAUUGUUCUCUUAUUUAUUACUAUGUUCCUACUUUUAGUGGUCCAUGAGUAUAUCCUUUAUUUUCUUUAUGUUUACAUUCUCUUCGGGGAAUGCAACAAAUCUAGUAGGAUGGACUUAUAAACAUCCCAAUAGAUUCUUUAUUUCAUAAUCACCAUCGCAAACAUGCGUGAGAUUUAAAUCAAAAUUUAUCUAUUCAUAUUGUCAUGAUUAGUCUCCAAUUAUAAUAAACAUGAUAUAAUACAUAAAACAUAAUAAAAUAUACCUGAAGAUCUUUAACAUCAUCGUCAUCAUAUUGACUAUUAUCACGAGCACUAUUACAAGUAGUAAAACAACUUUGUUUUCGUAAUAACAUUUACAAUCUAAUAGUAAAAAUUAUUUAAUAAAUAAUCAAAAUUUGUGUAUCAAAAUUUUCAUGUACGAUGCUUGAAAAUUAUCUGAUACACAUUGUAUCAAAUUUCAAUACCACAUAUAUGUUAUAAAAUCUUAUCUUGCUCUAAUAAAAUAUUUAUAAGUUCAAUUUAAAAGAUAUCAUACAAUUAUUCAAUAUUAGAAAGCUAAUAAGACUAAAUAGAUCCUAUCAAAUUUCCUUUUAUUCAACAAUGGUAGGUUAUUUAGACUUUCCACCAUAAUUUUAAUAAAAUUUCAAGAAUAAAUAACAAGAAAAAAAAUUUAAAACACAAAAAUAUUAUGCAUAAUAUAAUUUAAUUAAAAAAACUUUAAAAAUAGAAAAAAGAACAUACCAUAUUAAUAGUAAACAUAUCUAAUCAAUAAUUAUGUCUUUUAAAUAAAAAAGCAAAAAUCAAAUACUAUCAGAAUGUGAAAUUUAUGUCAAAUAAAAAUUAAUAGUACUUAUACCUUAAUUGAAAAAGAAAAUAUGGCCGAAAUAUAAAAGUUUCUUACCAAAUCUAUACUUUACCCAUACUUGUACAAUAAAUCAAAGAUCAAAAAUAAGAAUCACAAUCCAUUCUGAGAUUGAAUCUUUCAACAUCCUGAAAAUGAAGUUGUAAGGGAGAGUUUAAGGUGAAAAGGAAUUUGAUUUGUGGGACGACUUCGAAAGAUUUUGAAAAAAAAAGAAAAUCAUCGUGUUGAUAACGUGUUAUAAAAUAAAGAGAGAUGGAGAGAAUAAAAAAUAAAGAAAACAUGAAAACAAUAAAAAAAAUAUACUUUAUUGAUCAAAGAGAUUAUUACAAUGUUUUAUCAGAUUUUAUUUAUAAGCAUAAGAAGAAUAAAAAAGAUAGAGAUCUAAUUCUAAUAACUAUUAAAAUUUAAAAUACAUAAAAAUUUUAUCUUAAGCAUGAUCAACAUCCACUUAACUUAAUAAGAUAUUUAUAAUAAUUUUUAAAUUCUAUAGGCGAAUUAUUAAGUAACGGGACAAGUAGGUGGUGAAAUUAAUAAAAAAAAAAUUCUGAAUUAUUUUUGUAAAAAAGCGGCAAAACCCAGAUUACCACAACAGAUGCAAAAUCUGAUCGGUGAAGUUAAGAAAAUGGAGACCAUGGGAAAUCUUCUAAUCCUUUUUCCAGCUUCUUUAUGCCUCUUCCUUUUCGUUGCUUUGCUCAAUGUUUUCUACAAGUAUUGGUGGAUACCUCAUCGUGUACAGUUCAUCAUGAAUUCACAAGGAAUCAGAGGACCUCCUUAUGAAUUUAUCCAUGGAAACAACAAAGAAGCUGCCCAAAUGCUCAUGGAAGCAUCUACCAAACCUAUGGCCUUGACACAAGAUAUAUUUCCCGAGUCAUGCCUCAUGUUUACUCCUGGAUCAACAAAUACGGUGAGAAUAUGUUUUUUUUUUCUCUUUUUGGGGUUGCAUUUUCUGAUUAACCUCCACUUUUCAAGAAAAGAAAUCAUUUUCUUUCAGGGAGGACUUAUCUUAGCUGGAAUGGAAUUCGAGCUCUACUGCUAAUUACAGACCCAGAUCUGGUGAACGAGGUCCUUAAAAACAGUGAAAAGGCUUUUCCAAAGCCGAAGGCUUCAUAUUUCUUCGACAAGCUACUAGGCGACGGUCUUGGUUCAACCGAAAGUGAGAAAUGGGCAAGGCUAAGGAAACUGGCCCAUUAUGCCUUUCAUGGGGAGAGCUUAAAAGUAAAUCAUCGCCACAUUCUACUCUAAUUAUUGUAGUGGAACAUCUACAAACUUGAUACUUUUUUUCAGAAUAUGAUUCCAGCAGUAGUUGCUAGCGUUGAAACCAUGCUUGAGAAAUGGAAAAGUAAGGAGGGCAAAGAGAUAGAAGUGUUCCAAGAGUUCAGAUUAUUGACUUCAGAAGUGAUAUCCAGAACCGCCUUUGGUAGCAGUUACUUGGAAGGGGAGAAGAUUUUUGACAUGUUGAUGAAGUUGACAGUAAUUGCAGGCAGAAAUAUUUAUAAAGCAGAGAUUCUCAUCAUCAGGUAACUUCAUCAAAUCUUUACUUUGUUAAUCAGCAUACUUCAGCUGCCAAUGGGUUGAUUUAACCUGGUUUUCCUUUUCAGCAAGUUUUGGAAAUCUGCUGAUGAAAUUGAAUCAGAUAAAAUUGCCAAAAUGAUACAUGAUUCUGUGAUGAAGAUUGUUAAAAAAAGGGAAGCCAAAGUAGUGACCGGAGAAGCUGAUAACUUCGGUCGUGAUUUUCUGGGAUUUCUGCUUAUCAUGAGGCGGACGAGAAAAAUAGGCUUUCGAUACAAGAUUUGGUAGAUGAGUGUAAAACUUUCUAUUUUUCUGGGCAAGAAACAGUCAAUUCCUUGCUUGCAUGGGCAACCCUGCUUUUAGCAAUACACACCGAUUGGCAAGAUAAAGCAAGAGCAGAGGUGAUUGAGGUCUUUGAUAAUCAAAACCCAGAUUCUGAAGGGAUGGCCAAAUUAAAGACGGUAAGCAAACUAUACAAAUUCAAUAGCUUGAAAACUAACAGUGAACAUUUAUAUUGCCCUUUGGAUUUCUUUUUCUCCAACAGAUUACCAUGAUUAUCAAUGAAACUUUACGGCUCUAUCCUCCUAUAAGUGGCAUGAUAAGAAAAGUAGGAAGAGAAGUCCGAUUAGGAACACUUGUCCUGCCUACUCAUUCACGGGUCGACAUGCGAAUCAUAGCACUUCACCAUGAUCCUGACUUAUGGGGAGAUGAUGUUGAUCUUUUCAAACCAGAGAGGUUUGCUGAGGGUUAGCCGAAGCUACUAAGUACAAUGCAGCUGCAUUUAUGCCCUUUGGAUUGGGACCUCGAUGUUGCGUAGGCAUGAGCUUUACAAUCAUUCAAGCGAAAAUUGCACUUUCCAUGAUUCUGCAACGCUACACUAUCAACCUCUCCCCUAGCUAUGUUCAUGCACCUUUACAACGUCUUACACUCAGG